GAGCACAAGGACUGAGAUGUAUCUCUCCUUACUUACCGUGGCAAUUUUGCAAUGGGCUUGACAACAACAGGUCGUCACUUGUGCAUUAAGAGAAAGGGUGUCGAUGCUACACCCACAUCCCUUCACCUGUGUAGAAGGCAAAUGGGGCUUGUAGUGGUACAAUGUGAAUAUGUGCUGCCAUCCGAGUAAGGGUGGGCAGCUAUUGCCUGCCUCCAUGGUAUCAUGAAGACGCCUGUUGAUUGGCCUUGUAUAGAGGUGGUGUGGCUAACCUCAGAUCUCGCACAUGGAUACUUGCCUUAAGAACUAUGUAUGCUUUCUAUAUAGUUUUGAUGUUAUUAUUACAGAAAAUGAUGUAGGUAAUGUUGCUUGGCAAUAGCUUGUGGUUCUUGGUGGAAAGUGAGGUUUUAUUGGGCUGUUAAAUCAUUUGGUGUAACUAUGGCUUGGUUCAGCUAUUGAAGGCUGAUUGGUGUGUGGUUGAUUUUUAACCUGUGAUAUCCUGAGGCUUUUGGUUUUGACAUCUGAAAUCGACCCCAACGUGGUUAGUUGGGGAUCCUUUAUUUUAUGAAGUGAUUGUUCAUAUAUUCGUGAUGAUACUGGAGGUGUAUAUGGGCACCUUGUAGGACAACGUUAACUGGUCUGGGUACUUCUAAGCUUGGCCUACUUGCUGUGAUUUAUAACCACACAUGUUGCCUAAGUAUCCUUCCCUGAUUAGCCGGUUGCCACAUGUGUCAAUGGCCUCUCCCGAUGUAUUUGCUAUGUGCAAGGGUAAAUACCAAUCAUUCAAUCUAUGAAAGACCAUUGUUUUCUUUACACAUCCGUUCGGUUCUCAUGAAAUCGACUCUCAUUUGUGUUUGGUUCUCAUGAAAUCGAUUCUCAUUUGUGUUCAACACGUUACUAGCAUCUGUGAUGUUGGUCGAUUAUUUUAAUGGCUGCGUGCGUGCAUCAUAACUUUGGUAUUGCGGCUCUAAUUAAAACUAUGGGAGAACCCUUGCUUAUGGUUUGAUAUCUUUGUUGUUUUCCUAUGGUUGUCUUUAGAAAAGUAUAUUUCCUAUGAUUGUGUCAUGGAAGAAGAAAGAGUUUGAAGAUCUCGAAGAUUUGCUCGUUUCUUUUAGACUUCAUUUUGUAAUAGUUGUAGUCAGCUCAAGUAUCUCUAUCAUGUACAAUUUGGUACUAUAAAUAUAUAAUAUAAAUAUAUCAUUGGCAUUGAUUGUAAAAAAAAGAAAGCAUAUUCUAUCUAUUGGGAGCAAUGCAAGAACUUGAGAAGGCACCCUCAACUAAGACUAGAGGCACUAUGUUCGAGUAACUUACUUUCAACUCCGUUUAUGAAAAAUAUCACUGUAGACGAAAGGGAUUAUUGCAUUAACCACAAAUUAGACGAAGAAAUGAAAUGGCCUAAUGAAAAUUACCGUUUGUUUGAACCAAGAGAUGAAACCGGGAUAGCUGCCUCCAUGCUUUGCCACAAGCUCAUAUUCUUCGAUGAAAUCCUUUUGAAUCACCGCUUCAUACAAGAAUUUGGCGAUGUAUCGAUUGUAUCAAAUUUAUCCGGGAAUAAGAGCAGUUCAAAGGAAUUAGAAGUUGCGAAACAAUGUACCGAGAACUUAAUCGAUGUACGGCUGCAUUUCUGUUAGGUUGGUGAAGAUAUACAACGAAAUGAUCUGCCAUUCUUCGAAAUCCAACGUGCGAGAUCCCCUUUGAAUAUGCUGAGGUUGGAUCCACCCUUUUUAGGGUCGUCAGCAUUUUAGCGAGGCUUCAGAUUAUGCAAAUGACGAUUUUUGGCUUCGUAGUGUGCUGUCACGCAGUUUGCCGCCUCCUCAGUAAUGAAUGCCUCAGCCGUCGAUGCUUCAAUUCUACGUUUAUUUUUUCAUUUUGCUCGUAGCGUCUUCUGCAUCCUCUCAGUUGCGUAGCACCAACAAUUUUUCACGCCCCCCCAAUCUUGCCUUGGUUGGGAGAUGCAAAAUCAAGUGCUACAUUGGAUUAAAGAAGCCACGCGGAAAGAUCUUCUCUAACUUGCAGAUCAACUCCGACGCCAACUCUUCCAUUUCUUCUAGCAGGCCAGGCGAUAGUUUUUUCGCACAAAGAACAUGGAAGAAAUAGCUCAGCUCCGCCAGUACUAGCCAUUCAUCAUGCAACAUCACCGGCAUUACCCGCUCAAUUCAUAUGUGCCAAUCAUGACUCUUGAGACCAAAUAUUUUCAAUUUAUCAAGACCUGCUCCCCUCUUUAGGUUCACUGCAUACCCAUCAGGGAACAUCAACUGCUGUUGCACCCCCAAGAUAAUUUCCCUCAUAGCUGGCCUUCCAAGAUUGAACCAUGCCUUUGGCUUCGUCCAGUUCUGCUUUCCUUUCGGUUCUUGCAUGUUUUGUAACGGUCUAUCACAUAGCGCCUCCAGAUCGACUCUAGCCUUAGUAUUAUCCUUUGACUUCUCGUCUAUGCCGAACAAUGUACCGAAAAGUGCCUCGGCAAUAUUCUUUUCAGUGUGCAUCACGUCGAUGUUGUGUGGGCAAAGGAGGUCUUUGAAGUAAGGCAGAUCCCACAAGCAUGUCUUGUGAGUCCAGGCGUGUUUCGAAUUAUACCCCUUGAAAUACCCUGAACGCUUUGGAUCUGGCUCGAGAGCGUUUAACCGAUCCAGGUUCUAUUGGCCUGUCAAUGCAGGUGGUGCAAAGUUUUUGAAAACUCUACUUUUGAUGAAGUUCUUCUUGUCUUUCCUGAACUUAUGGUGAGGAUCAAGAAACUGUCUAUGCACGUCGAAGCAAGAAAACUUGCGACCGGCCUGAAGCCAACGAAACUCAAGAGCUCCCUUACAUGUGGGGCAUGGGAACCAUCCAUGCACAUGUUGGGGAUCGUAGCAGAAAUUAAAAAAUUUCUACGCAUCACCAAUAUCAAUCUAUGGAGUUUACUAGCAACGAGAGGGGAGUGCAUCUUCAUACCUUUGAAGAUUGCGAUGCGGGAGCGUUGCAAGAACGCGGUCGGUGGAGUCGUACACGAAGCGAUUCAGAUCGCGGCCGAUUCUGAUCUAAGCACCGAACAACGGUGCCUCCGCGUUCAACACAGGUGCAACCCGGUGACGUCUCCCGCACCUUGAUCCAGCAAGGAGAGAGGGAGAGGUUGGGGAAGACUCCGUCCAGCAGCAGCACGACAGCAUGGUGGUGGUGGAGGAGCGUGGCACUCCAGCAGGGCUUCGCCAAGCACUGCGAGAGACGAGGAGGGAGAGGGGUAGGGCUGCGCCAGGAGAAGGGGUGCGGUUGCCCUCCCACCCCCACUAUUUAUAGGGGAAGGGGAGAGGGGGCCGGCCCCCUAGAUCCAGUGACUGAAACUGGACUUCCCAUAUAUAAAUCUUUACCUCCGGACCAUUUCGGAACUCCUCGUGACAUCCAGGAUCUCAUCCGGGACUCCGAACAACAUUCGGUAACCACGUACAUCUAUUCCCUAUAACCCUAGCAUCAUCGAACCUUAAGUGUGCAGACCCUACGGGUUCGGGAGGCAUGCAGACAUGACUGAGACAUCUCUCCAGCCAAUAGCCAACAGCGGGGUCUGGAUACCCAUGUUAGCUCCCACAUGCUCCAUGAUGAUCUCAUUGGAUGAACCACGAUGUCAAGGAUUCAAUCAAUCCCGUAUACGAUUCCCUUUGUCUACCAGUAUAACACUUGCCCGAGAUUCGAUCGUCGGUAUACCGAUACCUUGUUCAAUCUCAUUACGGCAAAUCUCUUUACUCGUUCUGUAACACAUCAUCCCGUGAUCAACUCCUUGAUCACACUGAGCUCAUUAUGAUGAUGUCCUACUGAGUGGGCCCAGAGAUACCUCUCCGUCAUACGGAGUGACAAAUCCCAGUCUCGAUUCGUGCCAACCCAACAGAUACUUUCGGGGAUUCCCGCAGUGUACCUUUAUAGCCACCCAGUUACGUUGUGACGUUUGGCACACCCAAUGUACUCCUACGGUAUCCGGGAGUUGCACAAUCUCAUGGUCUAAGGAAAAAGAUACUUGACAUUAGAAAAGCUUUAGCAGACGAACUACACAAUCUUGUGCUAUGCUUAGGAUUGGGUCUUGUCCAUCACAUCAUUCUCCUAAUGAUGUGAUCCCAUUAUCAAUGACAUCCAAUGUCCAUGGUUAGGAAACCGUAACCAACUAUUGAUCAACGAGCUAGUCAACUAGAGGCUCACUAGGGACAUGUUGGGGCCUAUGUAUUCACACAUGUAUUAUGAUUUCCGGAUAACGCAAUUAUAUCAUGAACAAUAGACAAUUAUCAUGAACAAGGAAAUAUAAUAAUAACCAUUUUAUUAUUGCCUCUAGUGCAUAUUUCCAAUAGUCUCCCACUUGCACUAGAGUCAAUAACCUAGUUACAUUGUGAUGAAUCAAACACCCAUAGAGUUCUGGUGUUGAUCAUGUUUUGCAUGUGGAAGAGGUUUAGUCAAUGGAUCUGCAACAUUCAGGUUCGUAUGCACUUUACAAAUCUCUAUGUCUCCAUCUUGAACAUUUUCACGAAUGGAGUUGAAGCGACGCUUGAUAUGCCUGGUCUUCUUGUGAAACCUGGGCUCCUUGGCAAGGGCAAUAGCUCCAGUGUUGUCACAGAAGAGAGUCAUCAGGCCCGACGCAUUGGGAAUAACUCCUAGGUCGGUAAUGAACUCCUUCAUCCAGAUUGCUUCAUGUGCUGCCUCCGAGGCUGCCAUGUACUCCGCUUCACAUGUAGAUCUCGCCACGACACUUUGCUUGCAACUGCACCAGCUGAUUGCCCCACCAUUCAAAAUAUACACGUAUCCGGUCUGUGACUUGGAGUCAUCCAGAUCUGUGUUGAAACUAGCAUCGACGUAACCCUUUACGACGAGCUCUUCGUCACCUCCAUAAACGAGAAACAUAUCCUUAGUCCUUUCCAAGUACUUCAGGAUAUUCUUGACCACUGUCCAGUGUUCCAUGCCGGGAUUACUUUGGUACCUUCCUACCAAACUUACGGCAAGGUUUACAUCAGGUCUGGUACACAACAUGGCAUACAUAAUAGACCCUAUGGCCGAGGCAUAGGGGAUGACACUCAUCUUUUCUUUAUCUUCUGCCGUGGUCGGGCAUUGAGCCGUGCUCAAUCUCACACCUUGCAAUACAGGUAAGAACCCCUUCUUGGACUGAUCCAUAUUGAACUUCUUCAAUAUCUUGUCAAGGUACGUGCUUUGUGAAAGACCAAUGAGGCGUCUCGAUCUAUCUCUAUAGAUCUUGAUGCCUAAUAUGUAAGCAGCUUCUCCAAGGUCCUUCAUUGAAAAACACUUAUUCAAGCAGGCCUUUAUGCUUUCCAAGAGUUCUAUAUCAUUUCCCAUCAAUAGUAUGUCAUCCACAUACAAUAUGAGAAAUGCUACAGAGCUCCCACUCACUUUCUUGUAAACACAGGCUUCUCCAUAAAUCUGCGUAAACCCAAACACUUUGAUCAUCUCAUCAAAACGAAUGUUCCAACUCCGAGAUGCUUGCACCAGCCCAUAGAUCGAGUGUUGGAGCUUGCAUACCUUGUCAGCAUUCUUAGGAUUGACAAAACCUUCCGGCUGCAUCAUAUACAAUUCUUCCUUAAGGAAACCAUUAAGGAAUGCCGUUUUGACGUCCAUUUGCCAUAUCUCAUAAUCAUGGAAUGCGGCACUUGCUAACAUGAUUCAGACAGACUUCAGCUUCGCUACGGGUGAGAAGGUCUCAUCGUAGUCAACCCCUUGAACUUGUCGAUAACCCUUAGCGACAAGCCGAGCCUUAUAGAUGGUUACAUUACCAUCCUCAUCUAUCUUCUUCUUAAAGAUCCAUUUAUUUUCUAUGGCUCGCCGAUCAUCGGGCAAGUUAGUCAAAGUCCAUACUUCGUUUUCAUACAUGGAUCCUAUCUCGGAUUUCAUGGCUUCAAGCCAUUUGUCGAAAUCCGGGCCCGCCAUCGCUUCUUCAUAGUUCGAAGGUUCACCAUUGUCUAACAACAUGAUUUCCAGGACAGGGUUGCCGUACCACUCUGGUGCGGAACGUGUCCUUGUGGACCUACGAAGUUCAGUAGCAACUUGAUCUGAAGUUUCAUGAUCAUCAUCAUUAACUUCCUCUCUAGUCGGUGCAGGCACCACAGAAACAUUUUCUUGAGCCGCGCUACUCUCCGGUUCAAGAGGCAAUACCUCAUCAAGUUCUACUUUCCUCCCACUUCUUUCGAGAGAAACUCUUUCUCUAGAAAGGAUCCAUUCUUGGCAACAAAGAUCUUGCCUUCGGAUCUGAGGUAGAAGGUAUACCCAAUAGUUUCCUUAGGGUAUCCUAUGAAGACACAUUUUUCCGAUUUGGGUUUGAGCUUUUUAGGUUGAAGUUUCUUGACAUAAGCAUCGCAUCCCCAAACUUUCAGAAACGACAGCUUAGGUUUCUUCCCAAACCAUAAUUCAUACGGUGUCGUCUCAACGGAUUUCGACGGAGCCCUAUUUAAAGUGAAUGCGGCAGUCUCUAAAGCAUACCCCAAAAUGAUAGCGGUAGGUCCGUAAGAGACAUCAUGGAUUGCACCAUAUCCAAUAGAGUGCGAUUUCGAUGUUCAGACACACCAUUAUGCUGAGGUGUUCCAGGCGGCAUGAGUUGUGAAACAAUUCCACAUUUCCUUAAGUGCGUGCCAAAUUCGUGACUCAAAUAUUCUCCCCCACGAUCUGAUCGUAAGAACUUGAUUUUCCUAUCACGUUGAUUCUCAACCUCACUCUGAAAUUCCUUGAACUUUUCAAAGGUCUCAGACUUGUGUUUCAUUAAGUAGACAUACCCAUAUCUACUUAAGUCAUCAGUGAGAGUAGAACAUAACGAUAACCAUCGCGAGCCUCAACGCUCAUUGGACCGCACACAUCAGUAUGUAUGAUUUCCAAUAAGUUGGUUGCUCGCUCCAUUGUUCCGGAGAACGGAGUCUUGGUCAUUUUGCCCAUGAGUCAUGGUUCGCACGUGUCAAAUGAUUCAUAAUCAAGAGACUCCAAAAGUCCAUCUGCAUGGAGUUUCUUCAUGCGUUUGACACCAAUGUGACCAAGGCGGCAGUGCCACAAGUAUGUGGGACUAUCAUUAUCAACCUUACAUCUUUUGGCAUUCACACUAUGAAUAUGUGUAACAUCACGUUCGAGAUUCAAUAAGAAUAAACCAUUGACCAGCGGGGCAUGACCAUAAAACACAUCUCUCAUAUAAAUAGAACAACCAUUAUUCUCAGAUUUAAAUGAGUAGCCAUCUCGCAUUAAACAAGAUCCAGAUACAAUGUUCAUGCUUAAAGUUGGUACUAAAUAACAAUUAUUGAGGUUUAAAACUAAUCCCGUAGGUAAAUGUAGAGGUAGCGUGCCGACGGUGAUCACAUCGACCUUGGAACCAUUCCCGACGCGCAUCGUCACCUCGUCCUUCGCCAGUCUCCGCUUAUUCCGCAGCUCGUGUUUUGAGUUACAAAUAUGAGAAACUGCACCGGUAUAAAAUACCCAGGAGCUACUACGAGCGCUGGUUAGGUACACAUCAAUAACAUGUAUAUCACAUAUACCUUUGGUAUUGCCGGCCUUCUUAUCCGCUAAGUACUUGGGCAGUUUCGCUUCCAGUGACCGUUUCCUUUGCAAUAAAAGCACUCAGUCUUAGGCUUGGGUCCAUGCUUUGGCUUCUUCCCGGCAACUGGCUUACCGGGCGCGGCAACUCCCUUGCCAUCCUUCUUGAAGUUCUCCUUACCCUUGCCUUUCUUGAACUUAGUGGUUUUAUUCACCACCAACACUUGAUGUUCCUUUUUGAUCUCCACCUCCGCUGAUUUCAGCAUUGAAUAUACCUCAGGAAUGGUCUUUUCCAUCCCCUGCAUAUUGAAGUUCAUCACAAAGCUCUUGUAGCUAGGUGGGAGCGACUGAAGGAUUCUGUCAAUGACCGCAUCAUCCGGGAGAUUAACUCCCAGCUGAGAUAUGCGGUUGUGCAACCUAGAUAUUUUGAGUAUGUGCUCGUUGACAGAACUAUUCUCCUCCAUCUUACAACUAUAGAACUUGUCAGAGACUUCAUAUCUCUCGACCCGGGCAUGAGCUUGGAAAACCAUUUUCAGCUCUUGGAACAUCUCAUAUGCUCUGUGCUGCUCAAAACGCUUUUGGAGCCCCAGUUCUAAGCUGUAAAGCACGCCGCACUGAACCAGGGAGUAAUCAUCACUACGCGACUGCCAGACGUUCAUAACGUCUUGAGUUGCUGGGAAAAAAGGUGCAUCACCUAGUGGUGCUUCAAGGACAUAUGCUUUCUUGGCAGCUAUGAGGAUAAUCCUGAAGGAAAUAUGCCCUAGAGGCAAUAAUAAAGUUAUUAUUUAUUUCCUUAUAUCAUGAUAAAUGCUUAUUAUUCAUGCUAGAAUUGUAUUAACCGGAAACAUAAUACAUGUGUGAAUACAUAGACAAACAGAGUGUCACUAGUAUGCCUCUACUUGACUAGCUCGUUGAAUCAAAGAUGGUUAAGUUUCCUAGCCAUAGACAUGAGUUGUCAUUUGAUUAACGGGAUCACAUCAUUAGAGAAUGAUGUGAUUGACUUGACCCAUUCCGUUAGCAUAGCACUUGAUCGUUUAGUUUGUUGCUAUUGCUUUCUUCAUGACUUAUACAUGUUCCUAUGACUAUGGGAUUAUGCAACUCCCAUUUAUCGGAGGAACAUUUUGUGUGCUACCAAAUGUCACAACGUAACUGGGCGAUUAUAAAGGUGCUCUACAGGUGUCUCCGAAGGUACUUGUUGGGUUGGCGUAUUUCGAGAUUAGGAUUUGUCACUCCGAUUGUCGGAGAGGUAUCUUUGGGCCCACUCGGUAAUGCACAUCACUAUAAGCCUUACAAGCAUUGCAACUAAUGAGUUAGUUGCAGGAUGAUGUGUUACGGAAUGAGUAAAGAUACGUACCGGUAACGAGAUUGAACUAGGUAUUGAGAUACCGACGAUCGAAUCUCGGGCAAGUAACAUACCGAUGACAAAGGGAACAACAUAUGUUGUUAUGCGGUUUGACCGAUAAAGAUCUUCAUAGAAUAUGUAGGAGCCAAUAUGAGCAUCCAGGUUCUGCUAUAGGUUAUUGACCGAAGACGUGUCUCGGUCAUGUCUACAUAGUUCUCAAACCUGUAGGGUCCGCACGCUUAAAGUUCGAUGACGGUUAUAUUAUGAGUUUAUGUGUUUUGAUGUACCGAAGCAGUUCGGAGUCACGGAUAAGAUCGGGGACAUGACGAGGAGUCUCGAAAUGGUCGAGACGUAAAGAUCGAUAUAUUGUACAACUAUAUUCGGACAUCAGAAAGUUUCCGAGUGAUUCGGGUAUUUUCAGGAGUAUCGGGGAGUUACAGGAAUUCGUAUUGGGCCUUAAUGGGCCAUACGGGAAAGGAGAGAAAGGCCUCAAAGGGUGGCUGCACCCCUCCCCAUGGGCUGGUCCGAAUUGGACUAGGGAGGGGGGGACCCUUCCUUCCUUCUCCUUUUCCCUUCCCUUUCCUUCCCUCCUACUCCUACUACUUAGAAGGGCUCCUAGUUCUACUAGGAAAAGGGGAAUCCUACUCCCGGUGGGAGUAGGACUCCCCUAGGGCGCGCCAUAGAGAGGGCCGGCCCUCCCCCUCAUCCACUCCUUUAUAUACGGGGGCAGGGGCACCCCAAAGACACAACAAUUGAUCUCUUGAUCUCUUAGCCGUGUGCGAUGCCCCCUCCACCAUAAUCCACCUCGAUCAUAUCAUAGCGGUGCUUAGGCAAAGCCCUGCAUCGGUAGAACAUCAUCACCGUCACCACGCCGUUGUGCUGACGAAACUCUCCCUCAACACUCGGCUGGAUCGGAGUUCGAUGGACGUCAUCGGACUGAACGUGUGCUGAACUCGAAGGUGCUGUGCGUUUGGUACUUGAUCGGUUGGAUAAUGAAAAUGUACGACUACAUCAACCGCGUUGUGCUAACACUUCUGCUUUCGGUCUACGAGGGUACGUGGACAACUCUCUCUCGUCUCGUUGCUAUGCAUCACCAUGAUCUUGCAUGUGCGUAGGAAAUUGUUGAAAUUACUACGUUCCCCAACAGUGGCAUCAGAGCCAGGUUUUAUGCGUAGAUGUCAUAUGCACGAGUAGAACACAAGUGAGUUGUGGGCGAUAUAAGUCACACUGCUUACCACCAUGUCACACUUUGGUUCGGUGGUAUUGUUGGAUGAAGCGGCCCGGACCGACAUUACGCGUACGCUUACGCGAGACUGGUUUUACCGCCGUGCUAUGCACACAUGUGACUAGCGGGUGUCAGUUUCUCCAACUUUAGUUGAACCGAGUGUGGCUACGCCCGGUCCUUGAGAAGGUUAAAACAACACUAACUUGACAAACUAUCGUUGUGGUUUUCGAUGCGUAGGUAAGAACGGUUCUUGCUCAGCCCGUAGUAGCCACGUAAAACUUGCAACAACAAAGUAGAGGACGUCUAACUUGUUUUUGCAGGGCAUGUUGUGAUGUGAUAUGGUCAAGACAUGAUGAGAUAUAAGUUGUUGUAUAAGAUGAUCAUGUUUUGUUGAAGUUAUCGGCAACUGGCAGAAGCCUUAUGGUUGUCUCUUUAUUGCAUAAGAUGCAAGUGCCAAAUAAUUGCUUUACUUUAUCGCUAUGCGAUAGCAAUAGUUGGCGAGAUGACCAUGUGAUGACACAUUGAUAUAGAUCAAGAUGAUGGAGAUCAUGGUGUCAUGCCGGUGACGAUGGAAAUCAUGACGAUGCUUUGGAGAUGGAGAUCAAAGGCACAAGAUGAUGAUGGCCAUAUCAUGUCACAUAUUUUGAUUGCAUGUGAUGUUUACCUUUUAUGCAUCUUAUCUUGCUUUGAUUGACGGUAGCAUUAUAAGAUGAUCUCUCACUAAAUUUCAAGAUAAAAGUGUUCUCCCUGAGUAUGCACCGUUGCCAAAGUUCCUCGUGCCCAGACACCACGUGAUGAUCGGGUGUGAUAAGCUCUACGUCCAUCUACAACGGGUGCAAGCCAGUUUUGCACGCAGAAUACUCAGGUUAAACUUGACGAGCCUAGCAUAUGCAGAUAUGGCCUCGGAACACUGAGACCGAAAGGUCGAGCGUGAAUCAUAUAGUAGAUAUGAUCAACAUAAGUGAUGUUCACCAUUGAAAGCUACUCCAUUUCACGUGAUGAUCGGUUAUGGUUUAGUUGAUCUGGAUCAUGUGAUCACUUAGAGGAUUAGAGGGAUGUCUAUCUAAGUGGGAGUUCUUAAGUAAUAUGAUUAAUUGAACUUAAAUUUAUCAUGAACUUAGUCCUGGUAGUAUUAGCAUAUCUAUGUUGUAGAUCAAUAGCUCGCGUUUAGCUCCCCUGUUUUAUUUUUGAUAUGUUCCUAGAGAAAACUAAGUUGAAAGAUGUUAGUAGCAAUGAUGCGGAUUGGAUCCGUGAUUUGAGGUUUAUCCUCAUUGUUGCACAAAAGAAUUAUGUCCUUGAUGCACCGCUAGGUGAUAGACCUAUUGCAAGAGCAGAUGCAGACGUCAUGAACAUUUGGCUAGCUCAAUAUGAUGACUACUUGAUAGUUUAGUGCACCAUUCUUAACAACUUAGAAUCGGGACUUCAAAGACGUUUUGAACGUCAUGGAUCAUAUGGAUGUUCCAGGAGUUGAAGUUAAUAUUUCAAGCAAAUACCCGAGUUGAGAGAUAUGAAGUCUCCAACAAGUUCUAUAGCUAAAAGAUGGAGGAGAAUAGCUCAAGCAGUGAGCAUGUGUUCAGAUUGUCUGGGGUACUACAAUCGCUUGAAUCAAGUGGGAGUUAAUCUUCCAGAUAAAAUAGCGAUUGACAGAAUUCUCUAGUCACCAUCACCAAGUUAGUAGAACUUCGUGAUGAACUAUAGUAUGGAAGGGAUGACGAAAACGAUUCCCGAGCUUUUCAUGAUGAUGAAAUCGAUGAAGGUAGAAAUCAAGAAAGAGCAUCAAGUGUUGAUGAUUAACAAGACCACUAGUUUCAAAAAAGGGCAAAGGGAAAGAAAGGGAACUUCAAGAAGAAAGGCAAGCAAGUUGCUGCUCAAGUGAAGAAGCCCAAGUCUGGACCUAAGCCUGAGACUAAGUGCUUCUACUGCAAAGGGACUGGUCACUAAAAGCGUAACUGCCCCAAGUAUUUAGCGGAUAAGAAGGAUGGCAAAGUGAACAAUGCUAUAUUUGAUAUACAUGUAAUUGGUGUGUACUUUACUAGUGUUUAUAGCAACCCCUCGGUAUUUGAUACCAGUUCAGUUGCUAAGAGUAGUAACUCGAAACGGGAGUUGCAGAAUGAACAAAGACUAGUUAAGGGUGAAGUGACGUUGUGUGAUGGAAGUGGUUCCAAGAUUGAUAUGAUCAUCAUCGCACACUCCCUAUACUUUCGGGAUUAGUGUUAAACCUAAAUAAAUGUUAUUUGGUGUUUGAGUUGAGCAUGAAUAUGAUUUGAUCAUGUUUAUUACAAAACGGUUAUUCAUUUAAGUUAGAGAAUAAUUGUUGUUCUGUUUACAUGAAUAAAACCUUCUAUGGUCAUACACCCAAUGAAAAUGGUUCGUUGGAUCUCGAUCGUAGUGAUACAGAUAUUCAUAAUAUUGAAGCCAAAAGAUGCAAAGUUAAUAAUGAUAGUGCAACUUAUUUGUGGCACUGCCAUUUAGGUCAUAUUGGUGUAAUGUGCAUGAAUAAACUCCAUGCUGAUGGGCUUUUGGAAUCACUUGAUUAUGAAUCAUUUUGAUGCUUGCGAACCAUGCCUCAUGGGCAAGAUGACUAAGACUCCGUUCUCUGGAACAAUGGAGCGAGCAACUGACAUAUUGGAAAUAAUACAUACUGAUGUAUGCAGUCCGAUGAGUGUUGAGGCUCGCGAUGGGUAUCGUUAUUUUCUGACCUUCACAGAUGAUUUAAGCAGAUAUGGGUAUAUCUACUUGAUGAAACAUAAGUCUAAAACAUUUGAAAAGUUCAAAGAAUUUUAGAGUGAAGUGGAGAAUCAUCAUAACAAAAAUAAAAGUUUCUACGAUAUGAUCGCAGAAGUAAAAUAUUUGAGUUACGAGUUUGGCCUUCAGUUAAAACAAUGUGAAAUAGUUUCACCACUCACGCCACCUGGAACACCACAGUGUAAUGGUGUGUCCGAACGUCGUAACCGUACUUUAUUAGAUAUGGUGCGAUCUAUGAUGUUUCUUACCGAUUAACCACUAUAGUUUUGGGGUUAUGCAUUAGAGACAGCUACAUUCACGUUAAAAGGGCACCAUCUAAAUCCGUUGAGACGACACCGUAUGAACUAUGGUUUGGCAAGAAACCUAAGCUGUCGUUUCUUAAAGUUUGAGGUUGCAAUGCUUAUGUGAAAAAGUUUCAACCUGAUAAGCUCAAACCCAAAUCGGAGAAGUGCCUCUUCAUAGGAUACCCCAAAGAAAAUGUUGGGUACACCUUCUAUCACAGAUCCGAAGGCAAGAUAUUCAUUGCUGAGAAUGGAUCCUUUCUAGAGAAGGAGUUUCUCUCAAAAGAAGUGAGUGGGAGGAAAGUAGAACUUGAUGAGGUAACUGUACCUGCUCCCUUAUUGGAAAGUAGUUCAUCACAGAAAUCUGUUCCUGUGACUACUACACCAAUUAGUGAGGAAGCUAAUGAUGAAGAUCAUGUAACUUCAGAUCAAGUUACUACCGAAACCUCGUAGGUAAACCAGAGUGAGAUCCGCACCAGAGUGGUACGGUAAUCCUAUUCUGGAGGUCAUGUUACUUGAACAUGACGAGCCUACGAACUAUGAGGAAGCGAUGAUGAGCCCAGAUUCCGCGAAAUGGCUUGAGGCCAUGAAAUCUGAGAUGAGAUCCAUGUAUGAGAACAAAGUAUGGACUUUGAUUGACUUGCCCAAUGAUCGGCAAGCCAUUGAGAUUAAAUGGAUCUUCAAGAGGAAGACGGACGCUGAUAGUAGUGUUACUAUCUACAAAGCUAGAAUUGUCGCAAAAAGGUUUUCGACAAGUUCAAGGUGUUGACUACGAUGAGAGUUUCUCACUCGUAUCUAUGCUUAAGUCUGUCCGAAUCAUGUUAGCAAUUGCCGCAUUUUAUGAAAUCUGGCAAAUGGAUAAACAAAACUGCAUUCUUUAAUGGAUUUAUUAAAGAAGAGCUGUAUAUGAUGCAACCAGAAGGUUUUGUCAAUGCUAAAGGUACUAACAAAAUAUGCAAGCUCCAGCGAUCCAUCUAUGGACUGGUGCAAGCAUCUCGGAGUUGGAAUAUACACUUUGAUAAGUUGAUCAAAGCAUAUAGUUUUAUACAGACUUGCAGUGAAGCCUGUAUUUACAAGAAAGUGAGUGGGAGCACUACAACAUUUUUGAUAAGUAUAUAUGAAUGACAUAUUGUUGAUCGGAGAUAAUGUAGAAUUAUUCUGCAAAGCAUAAAGGAAUGUUUGAAAGGAGUUUUUCAAAGAAAGACCUCGGUGAAGCUUCUUACAUAUUGAGCAUCAAGAUCUAUAGAGAUAGAUCAAGACGCUUGAUAAGUUUUUCAAUGAGUACAUACCUUGACAAGAUUUUGAAGUAGUUCAAAAUGGAACAGUCACAAAAGGAGUUCUUGCCUGUGUUACAAGGUGUGAAGUUGAGUAAGACUCAAAACCCGACCACGACAGAAGGAGCAGACCACUGCCUUGUUGAAGAGGACCGACAUCAUCGUCGAGAAACUUAGGGACGAGAAUGCCAUGCUGCGCAUCGAGCGCAGAAGGCUGGUGGAGGAAUCCGUGGAUUCUCUCAACCAGCAUCUUGAGGACAAGAAAGAGCUCGUCGCCGCCCGCCGCGGAGACUAGUUGUCUUCCUUCUUCUUUUGCCCUUGUGUAUAUCGGGCGUUGUCGCAUGUGGCUUUUUUUUAAUUAUGUUUAUAAAUAUGUAAGACAAUUAUUAUCCAAUGUCAUCGUCCUUAUAUUCACCAUGCUUGCUAUAAAGUCGCAGUCGAUGCUAUAUAGGUCCGUUGGAUCUUACAUCAAGAUCUGUGCAAAACUUUCUUUUCAGAUUCUCAUUUUUCUCUUUUAAAUCUCAGUCCAGUGAGACAUAUAGCCACACCGUAGAACAGGUGCUCGGGUGCCAUUAUUGGAGACGUUGGGAGGGAGGUGCGUGUCGGGUAGCGGUCAAAAGGGCUCUCCUCCCGAUGAGCAGGCGCAUGGGUCUGAUCGCACGCCUCCCGUACUCAAAUAGCUACCCCGCAUGGCACCUCCUAGCAACUAAAAAAAGGGGACGUGUGGCUGCACAUAAUUGGUAAGUCAAAUGCCCAUGGUUUCAAUAAUACUUGUGUUUACGAUUUGUAACGUGACAACACUUGUUCCAAAAUGACUUUGUUGAUUGUUAAUGUGUGCGACUUCGCAAAUCAAACAGAAAAAUUACCACAUCAUGUUGGUGCCAUGUCAAGAGAUCAUGCCAAGUUUCAUGAUUUUCAGGUGUGUUUUGGAAUUACUGAAAUUAAAAAACCAAGUUUCUCAAUCUUUCCGGCCGAGCCACAACGCCCAAAUGUUUGAAUUUCACUCCCAUCUCUUGCAUGGGACCUAGAAAUUCACCCAAGGACACACAUGUGAUUUUCAAACAACUUUGGUGCACUGUAGCAUGUGCUUGUAGUUCAAAUUUGAAUUAUACACAUUAAAUGCCCAGAAACUCAAUUAAUGUAUAAAAAAGGCCAAACGAACCUGAAAUAAUUCUAAAAUUUAGCACGAUACUUCUAUUUGGUCUAAUCUUGCUGUGUAAAAAAAAUUAAGGCGGGAGAAGGCAGUGUACGUAUGUCGUUUCACACACGGAGGUGACACAUUCCCUCUUGAAACCACGAGCCUUCUUGAGGGAAGCUUCGGUUUGCAAGAAGCUUACACCAAAGCUUGUCCCAAUUCGGCCAAAAAAAUUACCACAGCAUGUUGGUGCCAUGUCAUGACACUAUGCCAAGUUUCAUGAUUUUCCGGCGUGUUUUGGAAUUACAGGAAUUAAAAAACCAAGUUUCUCAAUCUUUCCGGCCGAGCCAUGACGCCCAGAUGUUUGAAUUUCACUCCCAUCUCUUGCAUGGGACCUAGAAAUUCACCCAAGUACACACAUGUGAUUUUGCAAACAACUUUGGUGCACUGGAGCCUGUGCUUGCAGUUCAAAUUUGAAUUAUGCACAUUUAAUGCCCAAAAACUUAAUUAAUUUAUAAAAAAGGCGAAACGAGCCCAGAAUAAUUCCAAAAUUUAGCAAGGUACUUCUAUUUGGUAUAAUCUGGCUAUGUAAAAAAAUUAAGGCAGGAGAAGGUAGUGUACGUAUGUCAUUUCGCACACGGAGGUGAUAGUUCCCUCUCGGAACCACGAGCCUUCUUGAGGGAAGCUCCGGUUUGCAAGAAGCUUACACCAAAGCUUGUCCAAUUCAGCCAAAAAAAUACCGUUGCAUGUUGGUGCCAUGUCAUGACACCAUGCCAAGUUUCAUGAUUUUAGGCGUGUUUUGGAAUUACAAGAAUUAAAAAACCAAGUUUCUCAAUCUUUCCGGUCGAGCCAUGAUGCCCAGAUGUUUGAAUUUCACUCCCAUCUCUUGCAUGGGACCUAGAAAUUCACCCAAGGACACACAUGUGAUUUUUCAAACAACUUUGGUGCACUGGAGCCUAUGCUUGCAGCUCAAAUUUGAAUUAUGCACAUUAAAUGCCUAGAAACUCAAUUAAUGUAUAAAAAAGGGAAAAUGAGCCCGGAAUAAUUGCAAAAUUUAACAUGAUACUUCUAUUUGGUCUAAUCUGGCUGUGUAAAAAAAUGAAGGCAUGAGAAGGCAGUGUACGUAUGUCAGUUCGCACACGGAGGUCACACGUUCCCUCUUGGAACCACGAGCCUUCUUGAGGGAAGCUCUGGUUUGCAAGAAGCCUACACCAACGCUUGUCCCAAUUUGGCCAAAAAAAUUACCGCAUCAUGUUGGUGCCAUGUCAUGAGACCAUGCCAAGUUUCAUGAUUUUCAGGCGUGUUUUAGAAUUACAGGAAUUAAAAAACCAAGUUUUUCAAUCUUUUCGGCCGAGCCACGACGCCAAGAUGUUUGAAUUUCACUCCCAUCUCUUGCAUGGGACCUAGAAAUUCACCCAAGGACACACAUAUGAUUUUUCAAACAACUUUGGUGCAUUGGAGCCUGUGCUUGCAGUUCGAAUUUGAAUUAUGCACAUUAAAUGCCCAGAAACUCAAUUAAUGUAUAAAAAGGCGAAACGAGCCUGGAAUAAUUCCAAAAUUUAGCACGGUAGUUCUAUUUGGUCUAAGCUGGCUGUGUAAAAAAAUUAAGGCGGGAGAAGGCAGUGUACGUAUGUCGUUUCAAACACGGAGGUGUCACGUCCCCUCUCGGAACCACGAGCCUUCUUAAGGGAAGCUCCGGUUUGUAAGAAGCCUACACCAAAGCUUGUACCAAUUCGGCCAAAAAAAUUACCGCAACAUGUUGGUGCCAUGUCAUGACACCAUGCCAAGUUUCAUGAUUUUCAGGCGUGUUUUGGAAUUACAGGAAUUAAAAAACCAAGUUUCUCAAUCUUUCCGGCCAAGCCACGACGCCCAGAUGUUUGAAUUUCACUCCCAUCUCUUGCAUGGGACCUAGAUAUUCAUCCAAGGAUACACAUGUGAUUUUUCAAACAACUUUGGUGCACUGGAGCCUGUGCUUGUAGUUCAAAUUUGAAUUAUGCACAUUAAAUACCCCAAAACUCAAUUAAUGUAUAAAAAGGCCAAACGAACACGGAAUAAUUCCAAAAUUUAUCAAGAUACUCCUAUUUGGUCUAAUGUGCCUGUGUAAAAAAAAUUAAGGCGGGAGAAGGCAGUGUACGUAUGUCGUUUCGCACACGGAGGUGACACGUUCCUUCUCGGAACCAUGAUCCUUCUUGAGGGAAGCUCCGGUUUGCAAGAAUCUUACACCAAAGCUUGUCCCAAUUCGGCCAAAAAAUUUACUACAGUAUGUUGGUCCCAUGUCAUGACACCGUGCCAAGUUUCAUGAUUUUCAGCCGUGUUUUGGAUUUAUAGGAAUUAAAAAUCCAAGUUUCUCAAUCAUUCCGGCCGAGCCACGACACCCAGAUGUUUGAAUUUUAUUCCCAUUUCUUGCAUGGGACCUAUAAAUUCACGCAAAGACACACAUGUGAUUUUUCAGCAAACUUUGGUGCAUUGGAGCAUGUGCUUGUAGUUCAAAUUUGAAUUAUGCACAUUAAAUUCCUAGAAACUCAAUUAAUGCAUAAAAAUGCCAAACGAACCCGGAAUAAUUUCAAAUUUAAACACGACACUCAUGUACUAGUUGCAUGUUCACUGUAUGUAAAUGUUCUAGCAAUUCAAACACCAUCCUUUCCCUCCAUAACACCAUUUUGUCUUUCAAAACAUAAUGAAAAAAAUCAGGUAUACCACAAACAGUUUACUAGAAAGAAUCGUGUGGGAUGCGAUAUAAAAUAUCUUGGCGCACCGUCUUGUCUGGCUUACGCAGGAAGCUUCGUCGUGUAUAGUCCACCGCCUCCACUUGAACCACACUUGCGCGCCAGUUUCUCGCCGCACCGAGCGAAUUUUUUUGCCACCGCAGAAAUAUCUAUCUCCCCGCCCCUCCCUCCUACCAAAAUCCACAUUUCCACUGUUCCUCCUUGCUUUCCAAGUUCAAACCUUCACUGCUACUUACGGGCAGCUCAGCCUCCUCACCGGCGACCCUUCUUCUUGUAGUACCACCUCCUCGCCAGCUACCCUUCUUCUUGCAGCGCCGCCUCCUCGCUGGCGACCCUUCUUCUUGCAGCGCCGCCUCCUCGCCGGUGACCCUUCUUCUUGCUGCGCGGCCUCCUCGACGGCGACCAUUCUUCUUGCUGCGCGGCCUCGUUGAUAUGGUCAGGUAAUCCACACCCACCCACACCAUCCUCCUCCUUUCCCGUCCCACAUGCCCCGACCGACGGAGCGACACCUUCCACCGAAAUCACUGCCCCUCCUCCAAUUAAGCGCCGCCACAACCAUUUUACACGUAGUAUAACAUGGAGCUGAGUAGCAUGCAGCCGCACACGCGAACAAGGUCGCUAUGGCUGACAUGCGUGUUGACCGCCAGAUCUUGGAGGAGCACCUCGUCUUCGAGGCCACCAUCGACACCACCGCGCAGUUGUCUACUUUAAAAUACAGUUCGUGAUGUUUUCUCGAGGCCAUCGCCAGUGCCUUCUAGUGAUUUGUCCUCUGUAAUGUUAAUAUGCAAUCUGAUGUUCAGUUAACAGUUUGGUCCUCUGAAAUGUAAUGUUCAGUUAACACUUUGGUCCAACAAUUGCUACAUUUCGUAGUACUGUUCUCAAGCAUUCUUUGUUUUGUUAACUGUCUUAUCUUCUCAUACAUGUUUCUACUCUACAAUGUCGUGCGUAGCUAACAAUUUUGGUUCAUUUGGUCUGCUGUCCAUUUAACUGUUUGGUUCAGUUCUGCAAUUUGAUUUUCAUUUGCUGUGGGUACAAUUUUGUAUUGUUAUGCAUGUGGCACCAAUCGAAUUUGGCUGUACUCAAUACACAUUCUACUGAUAGUAUGGCAACUGUCAGUUAACCUGAUCAAAAUCUUCCUUAUGUGUGUUGCAGGGAAACAAUGGGAGACACUGCGGGUUACCAUCGAGGUUUGUUCAAGUAGGGUCCUUUGGCUAAUAGCACAUUAUUGUGCAGUUGCAGGAAUCAUUCUAAUAUUUAUGUUUCUUACAAUUUGAUCUUGCACAUGUAGGUCCAGUAGUCAGAGGCUUAGACCCACUGUUCGACCCAUUUUGCAUAUGGGGAAAUGAGAUGUCCAUGAAUAUCAGUCAAGUCAAGAAACUCAGAAAGAUUGUUAGGAUGAAGAAGCUUGCGACGAAUAAUAGCAAGAUCUUUGUUUGCACAAUGAAGAAGACACCAGUCAACUAUAGGAUGGUACCAACUCUUUUACCUUGUUUUUACCCCUUGCGCCAUUUCAAAAUUUACAACAGCGAUUUAUGCAUAGCUUUGUUUUCAGUACUUUUCAAAGCAGUUCACCGAUGAUUACCUCUCAAACCACCUUCAUGGUCAAGAGGCGAGGAAGGUAUUCAUUCAACACCCACGGUACAAUAUUGAAGUCUUGCUGAAGAGGACGAAGGUUGGGCGGGCAAUUAUCCAUAGCCACUGGCCUAAAGUUGCAAGGACAUUCAACAUCACUGAAGGCUGAAUAUUUGCCUCCCGCUUCUGCAGUUUCCCAGAUGAGAUUCAUCUGUCUAUUUACGGUGUAUGAUGCUACUUUCCAAAGGUUUUUGAUCCUGCAUGUGAAACUUGGUGCUGUUGUGUAAUGGCGUAACUGAGUUCCGAAGCUAUCUGAUGUAAUUUGAUUAUGAAAUCUUGGUUGCUUUUAUACGGAUAUGAAAUAUCUGGCGUGUUUUAUAAGAAAUACCAGUUUGAUUAGUACAUGGAUUAUCAAUAAUAGGAUAAUUACCCUGCUUAUUGGGGUUUUCUAUUGAAAUGGUUACUCAGACAGCACCAUGGGCGAUGAACUCAAACAACCCGCACUGUUUCUAAAAAGUAGGCGUGUUCGAUCAACUAACAAUCACACAUGGCUUCCGGCAGCGAACUAUUUGCGUUAGGCCACAUUGCACAAAUGUUUCCACACAAAGAACUAUGUGGGAUGUACAUACCUACGGAAAUGAUUUUCUAGGAUUCACCGUGUGGGAUGUACAUACAUAUGGAAAUGAUUUCUGGGAUUCACCGUGUGGGAUGUACAUACCUACGGAAAUGAUUUCUAGGAUUCACCAUGUGGGAUGUACAUACCUACGGAAAUGAUUUCUAGGAUUCACCGUGUGGGAUGUACAUACCUACGGAAAUGAUUGGGUUUCCAUGCCUCACCCGAUCGCACACGGGCCCAACCUGGAUCCCACGAGGGCCUAUCCCCGACGAUUUCUGGGUCAUGUGGGAAGGACCCCCUAUUGCCCACACUCACUUGGCAACGGUUCCAAAUGCCGUCAUGGAAAGGGGUUUUAAACCGUUUGUUUAGGACGUUGCUGUACCAGUGUGAGUAUAUAUAGGAGGAAGAUCUUGGUCAGGAGGUCAUCGAGGGGCCCACAAGGUCGGGGGGCGCACUCCACACACCUAGGCAUGCCCUCCACCCUCGUGGCCGCCUCGUGGCUCUUGUGACUUGCACUCCAAGUUUCUUUGGUGUCUUCUGGUCCAAGAAAAAUCAUCGCGAAAGUUUUAUUCCGUUUGGACUUCGUUUGGUAUUCCUUUUCUGCGAAACUCUAAAACAAGGAAAAAAUAGGAACUGGCACUGGGCUCUAGGUUAAUAGGUUAGUCCCAAAAAUCAUAUAAAAUAUCAUAUUAAUGCAUAUAAACAUCCAAAAUAGAUAAUAUAAUAGCAUGGAACAAUGAAAAAUUAUAGAUACGUUGGAGACGCAUCACGCGGCUUGUACGUUAUUUCAAAUGGUAAGAGCUCAAUGGCCCAUUUAGCUAUGCAGUUGGUGGCGUUCCUAUUAUUUACAAUGUCAUUGAGUGGUGCUUCGAAUGCCACCGUUAUCAAACACUCCUGAAGAUAGUGCCGGAGCUUUCGGGAUGCCAUAAAGACCGCGUAAGCUAUCUUUUGAUAGUGAGGAUAUCGGGAUUUUCAUGGUGUAAGGACCGCCGAUACAUAGUAUACUGGAUUCUGGAUGGGGAAUUUAUGUCCCUCUUCCCCUCGCUCGACGGUGAGUACGGCGCUCACUACCUGGUGAGUUGCGGAUAUAUAAAGUAACAUAGGCUCUCCAACACUUGGGGUGGCUAGGAUUGGAUUGCCUGCUAAUAAGGUUUUUAUUUCUUCCAAUCCAACUGUAGCCGCAUCCAUCCAUUCCAAGUGGUCGGUGCGUCUAAGUAGUCUAUAAAGUUCUAAUGUCUUUUCUCCUAAUCUAGAGAUGAAGCGGCUCAAAGCUGCCAUGCACCCUGCUAGUUUUUGGACCUGCUUUAAGUCUGUUGGUAUGGCCAGUUGCGACAAGGCUCAUAUUUUGGUUGGGUUUGCUUCAAUUCCUCUAUUGGAGACAAUGAACCCGAGUAGCUUUCCGGCUGGAACGCUGAAAACACAUUUUUCCAGAUUGAGCCGUAUGUCGUAUGUUCGGAGGUUAUCGAAUGUGAGGUGGAGAUCGUCCACCAAUGAUUCAACGUGUUUAGUCUUAAUGACCACGUCAUCCACAUAUGCUUCCACUUUCUUGCCAAUUUGUUUUUCCAAACAUGUUUGAAUCAUGUGCUGGUAAGUGGCACCGGCUUUUUAAGCCCGAAAGGCAUAGUGUUGAAACAUAAAGGCCCAUAAGGGGUAAUGAACACCGUUGUGGCCUGGUCGGAUUCCUUCAUAUUAAUCUGAUGGUAUCUGGAGUAAGCAUCAAGGAAACACAAUGAGUCAUGUCCCGCGGUCACAUCGAUAAUCUGGUCAAUGCGGGGCAACGGGAAAGGGUCUUUGGGGCAAGCGUUAUUUAGGUCUUUGAAAUUGACACAAAGGCGCCAUGAUUUAUCCUUGUUCGACACCAUGACUAGGUUGGCUAGCCAAUAUGUCGGGGAAAAUAUACCAGGGUAUAUGUUUUCCCCUGACUCGUGCACGGACAAGCCAAGAUCGAGCCAAGAUAUACAAGAAACCAAGAGAUUUGAAGGAUCAACAUGUAGAUCAGAGGGACCGAGAAUGAACCAAGGAAGCAGGAUACUGUCAAGAGAAACGUCUCCCUUGCUGGGCAGGCGAGCCCAGCAAGGGGUGGGGCCACCUCUAGAAGCGGACAACCAAAGCACCCUGGUAGGGCCUGCCGGGGCUCACGGAGGCAAAACCACCUCGCCAACCACUCUACCACGACCCAUGUCAUCGAUCAGUGCGGUGUCAAGCUGCAAAGUGAUUAAGUGGCAGCCAUUCGCCACAUGGUAGCCAUUUCCUACAGGAGAAACCCACAGAUGACACCCAUCAUGCGACAUGUCAAGAGAACAUGUGCGGAGCUGGCAAGAUAGCCCGGCAAGCCUUGCCGGGCACCCAACGAUGUGACGUUAAGCGGUGCAUUUAAUGCACCCUGUUAGCCCGCAGAGUUAAGUAUGAUGGCACUAUUUGCUAUCUUAUCAGUGCGUAAUGACCACUUUGCCACUGUGGCUACCCCUUGAUCUAUAAAAGGAGGCCCAUGGCAACCGUAGAAAGGGUUAGAAGGUUGGAUAACUCACACCCCCAUACGCGCGUAGUCGCUACUACCCCAAGGUGACCCCUGCUCGGCAAGUGUACUACGCUCGACAACACCUUUUCGACCAUCAAUCCACCAAAGCAGGAGUAGGGUUUUACGCCUCACGGCGGCCCGAACCUGGGUAAAUUACCCGUGUGAUCUCUGUCGUGCUGCCCCACGCUCGUCUGCUCUUUGUGCAAUGCAUCAUCCCCCUGCCGAACCAGCAAGGGACCUCCUAGUCCCAUAGGUGGCCGUGGUUUCCCUCGACAUCUUUGGGCGCCAGGGAUGGGGGCGCGCUUGCACGAACCUCAAGGCGUGUGUAGUGCGUCGACUUCAUCACCAUCGUCAUCUUCGAUGACACCAUCGAUCAUGGCACCCAAAGAGACAUAGAAGCAAAGCGGGGCUAUCGUUGCACCAUUUUUGUUGGUCUCCAUGCCUCGCCAUAGCCGCGGUUAUGGCAAAGAUCAUUGCUAGUGGCAAUAUGCCCAUCACGGCGGCCCGUAUGACGUACCCACCAUUCGGAGAAGGGGCACAAGAUGUGCGGGCGCAAGAUCCCUCCUUCCUGUCCCUUCCCCUCGUCAUCAGUCGAACUGCUUCAGCCUCGGCGUCGUUGGUGUCGACGAUUACCGCACGACGCUCGGUCCAGUAUUCCCCCUACUUUGUGUAAUCCUGAGCAGAACACUGGUACAAGUCCGCCGACUGAUGCCUCGGCAAGCAUGCUUCAGUGAGGCUCCUGCAUUGGCACGACCUCUGCAACGGCGGCCGCUGGACUGACUCGAAGGGAAGGGAACAAAAGGGAGAGGAACCAGAGGAUCCGGGUGCUAUGCCCCAAUGCCCGCCACCCGCAAGAAAUGCAUAUCACUUCCUGCCGAGAACAAAGAAAUCACCUGAUUGGCUUAUGCUCCUCCAAGUGCCACGGGCGCGCCCGGGAGCACGGUCUGGAAGAGGAAAAAGGGGGCUCGAAACAAAAACUAAGUUUGCAUUAUCACCUCCUAUUGAUGCCUUUCAAAUCCUCGCAGUCGUUUAUCCCUUAACCCUAGUGAGCAUUCAUAUCGUGAAAGCCCUCAUGCGACGAAACCUUGGCUAUUUUCUUUGAUUGCACCAUCAUCCUGUCUAGAGCCAUGCUCACAGGUUGAGAGGCUGCAUCGAGAGGUACCUAGGAAAAACCUGCCGAGACGCAUCCACGCCAAGAUGACUGUUAAGGGCCAGACCCUUACGACAAUCGCGACAAUAUGAUAUCAGCAGGCAUCCAGAGCAUAUAUAUGAAUUGAUCAUAUGAACGCAAACAUGUAGGGCUCAAAGGGAUAAACACACAUUUAAAAAUCUAGCUAGAAAUACCAGUUUUGCACAAACACUAGAGAUAGAAUAACUAAACGCAAAAUACGUAUCAUGUUCCUUUAUAGAGCGCAGUGGAAACGAUAGUGGCCUGAUACUUGGUCCGGUGUCCAGAAGGAAUAGCUUAAACGCAAAGAACCCUGUUGGCGCGGGGAGUGGCUUUCUUCUCAGCAGCUGCAAUGUCGGCACCCACUGGCGGCUUCUUGAAUCCAUCAUCGAGGUCGAGCUCUAGAUGGCGGCAGAUGAUAUUGCUCAGGACCAUGAAGAGGGCGUUGCGGGCAAGCUUCCGGGACUUGGUCGCGAAGCGCUCAUGCCUCCCCUCUUCAUGCACCUUUAGCCUGUCGAUCAGCUCGUUGAAGAAGAGCCCCAACUUGAUGCUCGGGACCUCCUGCAUGCUAGCUGAGAAGACUGGGCCGCCCAUGACCAUCAUCGCAGCUUGGGCCCCGAGGCGUUCAGCAAUGUCAAUCAUGCUUUUGAUCCAGAGGUUGCUCGUAUCAACCUGAUUCUUCAACCUAUCCUCUGCAUCUUGCCGGAGACGCUUGGCGGUUUCCAAAUCCUUGGAGAACAACUGCUGUCGGGACUCAAGGGACUCCGCCGACCGCUCCAGCGAGCCGAUCCUCGCCUUCAUAUCCGUGAUGUUGCCAUUGGCAAUCUCAAGGCUCUGGGUCUUGGAGGAGAGCUGCGACUGCACAUCAGCCAAGUGGAUCUGUGCCUGCCGAGCUCCCUCUUUGAGUGCCUCCACCUCUUUGGCACUUUUAGUGAGCACCUCAUUCAGCUUAGCCACCUGCCGGUCAAGAUCAAUCUUGGUGGCGGAUGCGGCAUCCAAAUCUUCAGUAAGCUUCUUCAACUGGGCAGCAUGGUCAGUGGCGGGUGUCCAGAGCAGCCCCAUGCUUGUCCUCCAAUUCCUUGGUGUGUUGCUGCACUAGAGCCUCUAAGCCUUCGUCCUUGGCACGGAGGAUGGCUUCGAGUUUCUCCUCCCGAAGGGAGAUCUCUCGCUCUCUAGCAUUUAGAGAUGCCUUGUGAUUCGCCAGUCGCGCCUCCCAUGCUAUGAAAUUCUCCCUCGCCAUCAGGGGCAUCUCUUGCUACCUCACGAGCACCUUAAAUUGCUUGCCGUUCCAGUCGCGCAGCUCCAGGCACCUGUCCUUCAACUUCUAGUCCACCUUGCCGGUGGACUCGCGCCGCUCCUUGAGCUCCUGCCACUUUUGACAGUGCCGGGCCUGCAUCUCCUUCAUGCCUGCCGCCGUGGACGCCAUGAAGGACAAAUCCAUUGUGAUGGCGGCUGAGUCAUCGGCCUCCCUGGCUCCCAAGUAUAUGAUGCCAGGAGGCGCUGGAGCUCUUCAUCGAGCUCCGCGUCCGCUGUCGAAGAUAGACCAGGGGCUCCGAUAUUAGGCAACGCCAACACCAUGGACAAUGUGUUUGAGGAAUACGGCGGGGCCUCAGUGAUGAUCCCGGAGGAGGGAAGUGGGUCCAUGGUUUGGAGGGUGAUUUUCGCCUCGACAACCACUUCCUCUACCGGGGCAUCCUCCAGAGAGUGCUCCACCACCACCAAAGAGGUCUGUGCAUUCUCGGAAGCAAAGUCCUGCCCCUCAGCAACAACAAUCUCCAUGGCCUCAUCCGCGACAGCCCUUCCUAUAUCAGCCACCACCUCCAACAGCUCUGGUUCAUUGGCUUGAGGGGCUGCGCAUGAAAGGGCUAGUUAAUAACGGAGAAAUGAAAGUCUUGAGUAGAUAAAAAAUCAGGAGAACCAACCAGAGCAAGAAAUAAAAGAAGGAAUGAGUGGGGUACCUGGAGAGGUCUGCCGCGUAGGAGCCUCUGUCUCGCCGGCAAUGACCGUUGUCAGGCCGUGAGCUUUGCCCCCUGCCGUGGUAGUCUCAGCAGCCUUCCGCGCAGCUUCAUCCACGAAGUGUUCCGUGGCAAGAUCUUCGGCCUAAGAAGCAGGGGAAGCACGCCCCUCGGGGAGGGCCNNNNNNNNNNNNNNNNNNNNNNNNNNNNNNNNNNNNNNNNNNNNNNNNNNNNNNNNNNNNNNNNNNNNNNNNNNNNNNNNNNNNNNNNNNNNNNNNNNNNNNNNNNNNNNNNNNNNNNNNNNNNNNNNNNNNNNNNNNNNNNNNNNNNNNNNNNNNNNNNNNNNNNNNNNNNNNNNNNNNNNNNNNNNNNNNNNNNNNNNNNNNNNNNNNNNNNNNNNNNNNNNNNNNNNNNNNNNNNNNNNNNNNNNNGUCUUCUGCGUCUUCCCCACCAAGGCCGAGCUCUCCACGCCCUCCAGCGACCCGAGGCAUUGGAGCCUCUUCCGGGAAUGAUGGACGAGGGUCUCCGUGUCCUCCUCCACUUCCCUGCCGGCAACAACAAGAACAAGACGAUUGUUCAGCAAAAGCAUUCAUGCCUACCUAAGGGAUAUCUAUCAAAAAGGGAAAUCUUCCUUAACUCUUCCGCGAUUAGCAUGGAAUUCAAGUUGAACUCCGUGGGAGGAGGAGACUCCCGACCCCUCUGCAGAGACGGAAGGGCGGAACUCCCCGGUAGCUUCGGUGCUUGCCGUGGCGCUAGGAGCUUCGGAGAAGAUGAGCUCUACGAGGAGCUUGAGACGGAGGAGGCCUUGCUCUGGGCCAAAUGAGGGGAUUGGUGGAGGUCUUCUUCACUCUAUUGGUGGCUGGCGUUGGGUUGGAUGUUGCCACCCCUCGAGAUGCGACACGCCUGCGGGUGCACUGAUCUGGGUUCAGUGCGGGGGCUUGCGGUCCAGCCGUGAGCCACUCGUCGUCAGGGGCCACCACCGCAUCCUCCGCCUCCUCCUCUCCCUCUUGAAACUCCGUUGCUACUGUGGCUAGGGUGUCUAGCCCGACAAAAUUGUCCCCGGCAAGCUCUUCUCCGGCAGCAUCUUCCGUGGCUUGUGCCACGCUGCCGUGGGAAGAACUUCCGUCCCCAGCUUUCCUUUUGCCCUUCCUGGCCUCUGUGGCCUUCUCCAUAUCUACACGGCGGGCAGCCUUGUCCGCCUCGACCCUCUUUAGAAUAUAAGCCACCUCCACAGCAGAGGUGUGUUUAUACAUCCCCUCUUCAGUCCUGGUGGCCCUCUCCACCAGGGUGUUCGACCACUGGAGCUCUUCAUCCAAAGUAGGGAGCUGCCAAGUGCCCGAUACCCCUUCAGCAUUGCAGGCCGGCAUCCAUUUCUAUAUCUAGUCCCGGGUAGAAUUGAUGUUUAGAGGCAUGAUGGUUGCCGGGAGCUUGAACAACUCGAAGCGACCAAAUAGUUGGUCACACAACCAGCCAUGACCAUAAACUGACAAGUUAUUGGCCAACCCUGGGAGCAACCUCAUCCUAUCUACAGCGUCACCAUACAGCCACGCAGGUCUGUCCCUUUCCCUGUAGUGGCGAGAUGUGGCAGAGAAGAAAAAUCUGCCGCCACGUGCUUAAUGGUUAGCCCGACAAUCGCCAAAAGGGUAAUCCUGUUGAUUGCCGGGCACAACCUAUCCUCGGUAAGGCCUUUGGCACUCCAAUCCUUGCCGCGUGACGGUGACCUGGACUAGGGGGUACUCACCAUGUCGUCUCCCAAUCAGUUGGAUUAGGCUGAGGACCCCCAUGGCCGUAUGCUCAUGGGCCAGUUCGGACAGCCGAUGUAUACACGAGGAAGAUUCCACAAGACUUGGUGAUCAAGACAAGGACUCCUCUCCACCGGCGUAUUCGACUAGGACUCUUGUUAUCCUAGGCCUCUAGUACAUUAUAUAAGCCGAGGCCAGGCUAGUCAGUAGAUUAUUAUGACAUUACUCAUCAUACCUGUAGGGUUUAGACUACAACAUACGAUCUCGAGGUAGAUCAACUCUUGUAACCCCUAUACUCAUCAAAGUAAAUCAACCAGGAAGUAGGGUAUUACCUCCAUCAAGAGGGCCCGAACCUGGGUAAACAUCGUGUCCCCUGUCUCAUGUUACCAUCGAUCCUUAGACGCACAGUUCGGGACCACCUACCCAAGAUCCGCCGAUUUCGACACCGACAAUGGUGCUUUCAUCGAGAGUUCCACUGUGUGAGCGGCAAAGUAUCAAUGGCUCGCCCGCAGAUCAACUGUUACGCCGACAUCUUCGUCGCCAGCUCGACUGGUCACCUUGGCUCGGCUGAGGACCGCGCUCCAUCUCUGGUCGUCAUGUUUGGACCAGGGCCUUCAUCAACAUCAACUCCGAUCUCUAUCAAGAUCAUGGAGGAAUCGUCCAUGGAGCUCGGGGGCAACGUCAACAUUGCCCUCGGGCGACCGUGCUGUUUUUCCAAACAUUGAACUUGUAUAAGCUGACACCACCUCCUCGAUCAUCGCUUUGAUGAUUCCUUAGGUGGAAUUGGGCGGAAUUGAGUAUACAACAACCAUGCAAAACUUCAUCGAGUUCUAAUGGAGGAAUAUCCAGCAAUCUACGAUAUACCGGAGCCCUGUCAAAUCUCGACGGGAAUCUGGACGAGUUUAUGGCAUGGUCUCUAGCACCCAGCUCGGACGUCCUUUGGAAGAUCCAACCGUUGAACGACUGCGGAAUCCUAUAUCUACCACCCCUCAAAAUUUCAGCUCGAUCCGACCGUCCAAACUCCGAGAACCUUCCGAUUAGUGCAUCACUUUUUGGAUCUGUUUUCUAGCGAAUACAGAUCUAACUAGAAUUCAUGUUUCUUUAUGAACGUGAUAUUGGACAACCUUUUUAAAGGAAUUUUCUUCUACGGUAUUGUGCGUUGUUUCUAACACGUGCCCAUAAAAUUUUAAGCCUUCUUUGAGGCACUCUUCACCAUCGCGCUGGUGUCACACCAGUCCAGUAACAUUGCUCCACGUCUACCGACCUGUGCUAGACAGAUCGUCGCUUCAUCGAGCCGAGCCUAACCUUAUCGGAUCAUUAGCUCGGCAAGCCGAACAAGAGUUCGGCAUCGCGAAGGAUAAAUCAUCACCAACACCAUCGCCUCACAGAUUGCACGGGUCAGGCGCGCCGACAUCGCCGCUCGGUCACUUCAUCAAUCCGGCAUUGACUGCGUCACAAGUUAUGACCGGCGUCGACAUGGCCGCACUGUUGCUUUUUUAAGCCGAUGUCCAUCACACUGAACUGCUUGAACACCUCGACUGACAUGGCAGCUACAAUGUAUCCUUACUAACCCGCUCCGUCAUCUCGGCUAGACCAGUGACUUUGUUAUUUAUUCAUCAACAUACUCCGGUGACUUCGGCGUCACCAGCCGACUAGCUUCAUCACAUUAGCUGGACCGGGGGCUUUGCCUUAGUGAGCCCACCUUUGCCAGCAUCGCCAUGCCGUCGCUUUAUUGCCCAUCAGGCAAUGGGUGUGCGGAUCGAGUCCCAAUUUUCAGAGUAACCUUUCUUCAGAUUGCUACAAUAGAUAAACCAGGAGCUAUUAAUCCUAGUAUUUUUUCUUGCUUGGGUUUACUUUUCCCAAGGAAUUAUUACUCUGGUUUGUUGCAUCAUCUGUAGAUAGGUAUAUCAAAUGGUGGCCGCAUUAACAACGAUCGCGUGGUGGUUUGGUCAGUUUCCAUAUACAAUUCGGCAAAUGCCGCAUCCGGAACUCAGACCGGCCUGCGAAUUCAGGCUUGGCCACGCCUUCACCGCGUCACGCCGACGCCCUGCAUCGAUAUGACUUCGGCGCCAGGCCACAUCUCUUUCAAUAAAUUAUUUUUGCGAAAAGCAAUUAUCCUUUUUGGACCGCACUAUUUUAUGUGUGUAGGUGAUCGACUUGACUGCAUCACGCGGUCACUUUGGCAAGUCGACGUCGUUGUCCCAAUUGGCUUGCGUGAUCACCUUGUUGGUCGAAUCGCCAUAUCGACAUAUUCGGUUGCCUCAGGGACUUUGGCAUCGCUGAGAGAGCUCUACCCCAUCGAGUGUUCGACACACGGGCCAUAUUUCUUUUAUUACUCACUUUAUGUAAAUUAUUAAUUAUGCAACAAUUUAUUAUUAUUAUUAUUCCUAUUAUCUCCGGCUUGCACUAUUUUCUGUGCACACGUAAAGGAUCCGGGUCGGGCAGCGCUGUCACCUCGGCGUACCGACGUACCAUGUCACCUCGGCUGGACCAAGGGCUUCAUCAUUACAACAUUAAGCCACGCUGGGGACUUCAGCGUCACACUGCCGGCCUGCAUUGGCCAUGCUAUGUCGCCACUUUGCAGUGCCAAGCACUUCGCUCUGCCACCUCGGGACCGGCUUGGGGGCUGGGACCUUGUCCCACCGUAAGCUCGGGCCAUGCAUCGACACCGAGCACAUUAACCAGCUAAGUCGCUUCCAUGCUUAAAAACUUUCAGUUUUAAAUUUCGUUCGGUUCGACCAAGCAUUAUGCUUUUUUGACAAAAAGUCAUUUGCGAAAAACUUUCUUUGUCAAAACCUUGUUUGUUGCAAGAAAAUUCAAAUACCCCGUUUACUUGGGGGCUUCCAUUAUGAAGCCUUUCCUCUUGCAUUUGAUUAUACUUGUACGACUUCGUUCCUUGUUCGUGUAUUACGCCACAAUAUGCACCAUGUUGACUUAAGUGUUUCGCAAGCUGGGUUGCCUGGCUCCUGUGCUUACCCCUACGUUCUCGAUUGUUUGGCUAGGCGGUAAAGGGAGCACCUCUGUGAUUGUUACUACCGGGUCAUCCGAGUUAGUACCUCAGACUGGGUGAAGCCGAAAGCUAGCGCUCUUAUUGUUUUCAAUAAUGGUCGGCACACAACGGAACUCAUGAGUACAAAAAAUCUAUUGCAGAAGUCUCAUAGUAACAAUGAGCAACCGAUGAAAGGUAUCGGUGGAGGUACUAUUUUCUUCGAAGAUGCUUCUUACACUUCAUCAGUAAUAUAGCAUAAGUUCCCUGAGCGCGCUUUGUCUGUUACAGCCUUAUGUCCUGAUUGCCUGGUUAUCGGAAACACCGUCGAUGCUUUCGACAGGUGGAGUACAUGACACUUUUCGGUCCUUGACCAAAGAGGGAGAAGCCGAUGGUUGGUUAAUACACAUUUAAAGUUUAGGUGAACACAAAUAUGAUAUAAGUACAUCGGUACAUACAAUCAUUAUACAUAAAAUUCUUUUACCCAAGUCACUUGGGGGCUCUUAAAAUUUAUAUGAGCUGUUUUAUAGUAAAUGUGUUUUCUUCUUGGUCGUUGUAAAGUCUUUUUCUACUGCUCCUUUUUCGACUCGAGUGUAUGGUCAAUAGCCGUAUAGCCUGUCUUCUCUCUAAAAAGCCGCUUGAGUUUAGUUCGCUAAACUGGCCUCGAAGAAGUACUCCGCUUUGGGAUAAGGAGCUCAAAGCCGUAGGCUGGCCCACUUGAAGUGUUGAGAUCGGGUGUGUCAUGUUAAAACACGGCAGAAGCACAAUUUUUUCUUUUUUUCCAAUUUUCGGAUUGGCACCGAACACUUGAUCUUGUUCGGACGUCAAGUUUUUACUGACGUUUUUUGGUUUUCCAAGCUUAUGGCACUUUUAAACUAUUUGUGUGUUUUCAGCACAAGUCUCGCAGUGCAACGCCGGACACCUUUAGAGAUUCGGCAAAACAUUCUCGGAUAUUGCUAAAUAUGCAUCAGUUUCGAAUUGUGUCUUCGGUCAAUAGUUGGGUUGCCCGGCUCCUGCGCUUGCCUCCUACGUUCCGCUUUGUUCGGCUAGGUGUGCAAAGGGAGAACCACUGUGAUUGUGCUUCCAGCUCGCAUGGUUAAGCACCUCAGUGGAGAAAGCCGAAAAUUGACUGUCACAAUAAGCGUAAACUGGUCAGCGAUCCGAUGACUACGUUAAAUGACGGGCCGUUCAUAACAUUGGCCGAAGUGUUUACGGCUUGACCUCGGAUGUCGCCAGACACUAAUCGGGGGCUCAUAGCUAGCUUCCCCAGUUUAAAGCUCCUAUGACUAAGUGAAAGUUAUGAAGCCCGCAUAUCUAAUUGCCCCGUUUCUGCUAACAGAACCGCCUUCGGGCACUGAGAUGUCGGCUAAGGGUUGUCUUGUUAUUGCGGAGACACCUCGUGUAGUAUCUACAAAGGGGUAGAAGCCAAUGAUGGGCCACUUUCAAUUGAUAAUCGGUCGCAACGGAGUCAAAAUAAACAUAUCAUCAUCAUUUGUAUUUAAUAUACAAGGGCUGCCUUCCAUAAUCAUCGUUAUAAAGCCAUAAAUAUGCAUCAAUUUGACUUAAGAUUUUUGCCAAGCUGGGUUGCCUGGCUCCUGUGCUUACCCCUAUGUUCCCGAUUGUUCGACUAGGCGGUAAAGGGAGCACCUCUGUGAUUGUCACUACCGGGUCAUCCGAGUUAGUACCUCAGACUGGGUGAAGCCGAAAGCUAGCGAUCUUAAAGGAUCACAUUGGUCAGCAACGACGAAAGUAAUUUUUUUGGUUCAUUAAUACCACAGAGUUCGGGAACUUUCCCCGAACUAAAUCCUCAAUAUUUUCCUCCCACAUUGAUUGGAGGUGAGGUUUCAUGAUCAUGAUAAGCAUGAUGACCCAAAGAAAGGAACCGAUAGUGGGACUAUUUUCCUUGGAAGAUGUUUCUUACAUUAAGUAAUAUAACAUAUCUCUCCGCGUACCUUUGUUUAUAAAACCGUAUGGCCGGAUUGCCUUGUUUUCCAUAAAUCUUUUCCCUUAUAAUGGCUUUAUAAAGUAGGACAAACACUCCCCGGCUUCUGGAUGAGGAGGUUGAAGCCGAUGGUCGGUCAACAAAGUUUUGUACAAUGCGGAUCCGAGCAUUAAUGAUGUAAAGUACUUGGAUACGUAGAAUCAUUACACAUAAUUUGUGGUUUUACUCUGGAUAUCGAUCCUUAAUUUAGCCACCCGUGCCCACAUUAAGGCUCGGGGGCUACUGGGCUUCGGGCUUAUCAUUCACUAAUAUUGAAAGGGGCGUAUCAAUCCCCUGGUCUGGUGUUUCCACCCGACCAGUGUCUCGGGGGCUACUGCAUUGACAAUCCAAUGAAGAAAAUUUAAAGUGCAAUAUAGCUUUCGAGGAGAUUAUGAUCCUCAGGUUGGUCGGCCGCACCCAACCUGAGUCUCGAGGAAUUUGCACACCGGUUUUUGUGUCCCGAAGUAUUCUGCCGAGCUAGGAGUUGAUCCUCAGGCCGAUUUUGUGAAUCAACCUGAGUCUCAGGGGCUACUGGGAUCAGCGGUCUUAUGUCAUCCUUCAGGUGCAUCUCGGGUUUUAGACCGAUGCACACCUUGAGGGCUACUGGCUAUAUAUCUCAGCAGAGAAUAAAUUGCACCAAUAAAAAAUAUUCACAAAAAAUCGGCCCGCAGUCGGGGUGGCGCACCACCUCGGAAGCAGUCCGACAUAAAGCUUGGGUGCUAGGGGCUGGCUCCAUAGAGGGCAUUUCCGGCAUUAAGCUUGGCUAAACUCCUUCAACUUUUUUGAACCAAGGUGAUUUAUGACACCUCGGAUAUAGUCCGGCGUUGGAGCUCGGAUACAGUCCGGUGUUGGAGCUUGGACAUAGUCCGGCGUUGGAGCUCGGAUACAUUCCAGUGUUGGAGCUUGGAAGCGGUCCGGCGUUGGUGCUCGGCUGCAAAAGAUACCUCGAAUGCAGUCCAGCGUUGGAGCUCGGACGCAAGAGGACGCUGCAGCCCGGGAACAACUUCAAACCCGAGGUGUGGCAUAAAAAUAAAUGGCAUUGAUAAAUGCCGAGAACUUAAAGGGGUGUAACACCCAUGAUGCGGCUAUAUCUCCCAUGUAUCGGAGCACGACUUAGAGGCAUAACCGCAUUGUAGGCAUGUCGCAAGAGGGGUAAUCUUUACACAUCCCAUGUACUGAAUAAGAAAGAGAUACAUAGUUGGCUUACAAUCGCCACUUCACACAAUACAUAAAUAUAGCAUUACAUAAUCCAGAAUACAAUCAAGGUCCGACUACAGAACCAAAAUAAAGAAAGACAACCCCUAAUGCUAGAUCCCCGAUCGCCCCGACUGGGCUCCACUACUGAUCAACUAGAAAACGAAACAAGACAAUGAACACGAUCUUCAUCGAGCUCCUCCUUGAGCUCGGCUGCGUCAUCUGCACUGGUAUUAACAACACCUGCAACUGGUUUUGGAAGUAAUCUGUGAGUCACGGGGAAUCAACAAUCUCACACCCUCGUGAUCAAGACUAUUUAAGCUUAUGGGUAGGAAAGGGUAGUGAGGUGGAGCUGCAGCAAGCACUAGCAUAUAUGGUGGCUAACUUACGCAAAUGAGAGCGAGAAGAGAAGCAAAGCACGGUCGUGAAUCUAGAAGUGAUCAAGAAGUGAUCCUGAAACUACUUACGUUCAAGCAUAACACAAGAACCGUGUUCACUUCCCGGACUCCGCCGAGAAGAGACCAUCAUGGCUACACACGCGGUUGAUGCAUUUUAAUUAAGUUAAGUGUUAAGUUUUCUACAACCGGAUAUUAAAUAAUUCCCAUCUGCCCAUAAUCGCGGGCACGGAUUUCGAAAGUUCAAAACCCUACAGGGGUGUCCCAACUUAGCCCAUCACAAGCUCUGAUGGUCAACGAAGGAUAUUCCUUCUCCCAGGAAGACCCGAUCAGACUCGUAAUCCCGGUUACAAGACAUUUUGACAAUGGUAAAACAAGACCAGCAAAUCCACGCGAUGUGCCGACAAAUCCCGAUAGGAGUCGCACGUAUCUCGUUCUUAGGGCACACCGGAUGAGCCAAACGUCGGGCUGGCAUAGACCCUGGUUGCCCAGGGGGCGCCGGACAUCGCUCAGGUUGGACCAACACUUAGAGAAGCACUGGCCUGGGGGGGGGGGGGUUAAAAUAAAGAUGACCCUUGAGUUUGCAGAAAGGAAGGGCUUAGGUGGCAAAUGGUAAAACCAAGGUUGGGCCUUGCUGGAGGAGUUUAUUCAAAGCGAACUGUCAAGGGGUUCCCAUUAUAACCCAACCACGUAAGGAACGCAAAUCAAGGAACAUAACACCGGUAUGAUGGAAACUAGGGCGGCAAGAGUGGAACAAAACACCAGGCAUAAGGCCGAGCCUUCCACCCUUUACCAAGUAUAUAGGUGCAUUAAUUAAAUAAGAGAUAUUGUGAUAUCCCAACAAUAAUCAUGUUCCAACAAGGAACAAACUCCAUCUUCACCUGCAACUAACAACGCUAUAAGAGGGGCUGAGCAAAGCGGUAACAUAGCCAAACAACGGUUUGCUAGGACAAGGUGGGUUAAAGGCUUGACAUGGUAAUAUGGGAGGCAUGAUAUAGCAAGUGGUAGGUAUCGCGGCAUAACAAAAGAGCGAGCAACUAGCAAGCAAAGAUAGAAGUGAUUUCGAGGGUAUGGUCAUCUUGCCUGCAAAUUCCUCCGAGUUGACAAAGGCUUGAUCCUCGUAAGCAUACUCAACGGGUUCCUCGAACACGAACUCAUCUCCCGGCUCUACUCAAGGCAAGUACACAAGCAAAGGAAACCACAAUCAACCACGGUGCAAUGCGCAAUCAACAUGAUGCAAAACAUGGCAUGAUAUGCGGGAUGUGAAAUGCAAUGCAUAUGCAUACUCCGGAAGGGAAAGAUCGAACCAGGCCUCAACUUGGCAAACCAAGUGCGCCGCUGGAAAGAUGAGUUGAGUUUGGUCAAAAUCGAUAUAAAGAUCACCGGAAUCGGAUGCACGGUUUGCAAAUGGCAAGCAAAACAAGAAUGGCACAAUAUGCGAUUAACAGCACGAUGCCAUCUAGAAUGCAACCAGAAACUAAGCUACUGCACUCCAAUAUUGCAACAAAGCACAUGGCAAAGAUGUACUCAAGAUGCUUGACAAAAGAUGAAUACUGAGCUAUAGCUAAAUCACACAAGAGUAGGUUCAAACAAGCAUGGCAAAAGGGCAAAAGAUAUCAACAUCACAGACUUAGUGAAAAUACUAACAUGUCAGGAUUUAACAUCAGGAAUCAAUGUUUAGAGCAAGAUAACAACAUGCUACAGGAACAGUACAUAGCAAUACAAGUCAUGGCAUGAAUCUACUCAAAGCAUAUAACAAAAGUCGCUUACUGACCAUAAGCCAAAAAGGACCAGAAGAUAUGAUGGCACCCAUGUAAACAUAGCAAGUUUCGUUAACAGAUUCAGACUUGGCAGAAAACUGGACAUGGCAUAAACAGAAUUACAAAGGCAUGUUUGCGAGCUCGACGCACUCAACACAAAGCAUUUCAUGACAAACUAAGCAUACACCCAUCAAGAAGACAUGAUCAAGAAUCUAAACAUGGCAAGAACAAUCUCAUAGCAUGCAUGGAUCAACUACAACAACCUUGGCAAAAUUGAUUAACAUGUAAACAAUCCGCCAGGAACAUUUUAUAGCAAAAGUAGAGCAAGAUUGAGUCAUGCUAGGGUAAUCCAUAAAUGCAAACAUGGACAUGGAUGUAUAGAGCACAACCAUAUGCUCAAAUCAUCCUUACUGAACAUACUCAAAAGAAGCAUGGAUCACUCUGUAGCAACACGAAUACAUGGCAUUAAAAUAACAACAGGGAAAUGACUUAGUGAAAAACUAAGUCUCUGAAAUCAGCAAUAUCACGAGAGCUACUUUGCAUGCUUGUGCUAGUCACCACAUUGAUCACAAAAAUACAUGGCAUACACCCCUGUAAAGAUGGCAUGGCAUAGCCCAAAACACAUGUAGAGCUCAUGACCAUAUGCAGCACACAAUAAUCAUGGCAAAAAUGACAAAAGCUCACAAUCUGAUAAGAAUUAGCACCUAACAUUUUAUAACACUCUUGCAACAGUCAUUAGGGCAUCAAGAUGGACUCAAACAAGCAUGGUGCAAUGGAACAAAAUGAAGAGCUCAACCAGAUGAACAUUUUGAUAUAUUAUACAUGAAAAUGGAUCUACGGAUGAGGAGUUAUGGCACGAUGAAGAUGGCCUGAAAAUAAUGCAGAAAAAGACUUAGAGAAUAUGUGGACCUCCGGAUCUGAGAUCUAGGGUUGGCGCGGAUCCCGAGGUUCACCGGAGUCUUGACGGGAACUGACGUCGGAGAGGAAGGAGAUGACCGAGGCGGUGCGGGGAGGCGGCCGGCGAGGUCGAGGCGGCCGGAUCCGGUCCGGCCCGACCGAAUUUGCGACGCGCGGGCAAUGUUGCGGGGGCGGCGGGCGCGCAGGAGGCGNNNNNNNNNNNNNNNNNNNNNNNNNNNNNNNNNNNNNNNNNNNNNNNNNNNNNNNNNNNNNNNNNNNNNNNNNNNNNNNNNNNNNNNNNNNNNNNNNNNNNNNNNNNNNNNNNNNNNNNNNNNNNNNNNNNNNNNNNNNNNNNNNNNNNNNNNNNNNNNNNNNNNNNNNNNNNNNNNNNNNNNNNNNNNNNNNNNNNNNNNNNNNNNNNNNNNNNNNNNNNNNNNNNNNNNNNNNNNNNNNNNNNNNNNNNNNNNNNNNNNNNNNNNNNNNNNNNNNNNNNNNNNNNNNNNNNNNNNNNNNNNNNNNNNNNNNNNNNNNNNNNAGGCGCGCUGGGGAGGGCGCGUGGCACGACGGGAGUGGCCGCGGGCGAAGCUGGCGGCGGCGCUGGCCAUUGGGGGCGCGACAAGUGGUGGGGAGUGGUGGCCGGACACGUCCGUCGGUGGAAGAAAUGUCCGGCGGCGGCGGGAAGAGGGAGAGUUAGGGUUCAUCCGUGAAAUUUCGGGGAGGCACACAUAUAUAUAUAGGUAGAGGGAGCUAGGAGAGUCCAAAAGAGGUGCGGUUUUCGGCCACGCGCUCGUGAUCGAACGACCGAGAGGAUGGAUGGGGUUUGGAUGGGUUUUGGGCCACUUUGGAGCGGUGUUGGGCUGCAACACACACGAGGCCUUUACAGUUCCUAGUUAACCGUUGGAGUAUCAAACGGACUCCAAAUGGCACGAAACUUGACAGGCGGUCUACCGGUGGCGAACCAAGGCCUCUUGGCAAAUCUCGGUCCAAUCCGAGAACAUUUAACACCCGCACAUGAAAAGAGGCAAAAGGGGGCGCCAUAGGACGUAGGAGUGUCGGAGCGCGAAACGGACAAUGGGGAAAAUGCUCAGAUGCAUGAGACGAACACGUAUGCAAAUGAGAUGCACAUGAUGACAUGAUAUAAAAUGCAUGACGCGCAAACAAAUGACAAGGCAACAAUAGCGAAUAACUGGAAGACACCGGGCGCAAUGGUCUCGGGGCGUUACAAGGGGCUCCUCGGAUACCCGACGUGUAAACUCUUCAGAUUUACUUCGGCGAUCCUCAAGAUCGAAGAUGGGAAGAUUUGUUGAACCAAUUUUCAAGACCGACGACCGAAGAUGAAGAACAGUUCGGAAGAAUCGAGGAGCGUCCCCAACUUGAAGACCGGUUCAGGGGGCUACUAACGGUGUCCUGGACUAGGGGGUAGUCACCACGUCGUCUCCCAAUCAGUUGGAUUAGGCCGAGGACCCCCAUGGCCGUAUGCUCAUGGGCCAGUUCGGAUAGCCGAUCUAUACACAAGGAAGAUUCCACAAGACUUGGUGAUCAAGACAAGGACUCCUCUCCACCGGUGUAUUCGACUAGGACUCUUGUUAUCCUAGGCCUCUAGUACAUUAUAUAAGCCGAGGCCAGGCUAGUUGGUAGAUUAUUAUGACAUUACUCAUCAUACCUGUAGGGUUUAGACCACAACAUACGAUCUCGAGGUAGAUCAACUCUUGUAACCCCUAUACUCAUCAAAGUCAAUCAAGCAGGAAGUAGGGUAUUACCUCCAUCAAGAGGGCCCGAACCUGGGUAAACGUCGUGUCCCCUGUCUCCUGUUACCAUCGAUCCUUAGACGCACAGUUCGGGACCCCCUACCCGAGAUUCGCCGGUUUCGGCACCGACACCGCGCUCGAUGCACUCCUUCUGUGCUUCGCAGAACUCGGGGGCUUCCUUGUCCUGGAUCCAGCACCAAUCCCCUCUCCAUUCAUCCCACCUUUCACGCUGAUUAUCAGGGAGGUAAUCCCUAAUCCUCCUUGCCACGCGUGGCAUCCAGCUGAUGAUUCCGAAAGGUUAACUUUGCUCUCCACCCGCGGGACGAAGUAAUGCCAGAACAGAUCCACAUUGGGCGUCAUGCUGACAAAAUUCUCGCACAAAUGCCUGAAAAUGGCCAUGGUCGCCAUUUCAUUUGGCGUGAAGUCGAUGAGGUGGAACCCGUAGAUGUUCAGGAUUGCCUCGAAGAACUAAGAGAAGGGAAACAGAGGCCUAAGAUGAAGUUAGUGCUGAAGAACCGAUAAGAAUCCGAUGGAUCUUCCUCCCCCGCUUCAUAAACUACGGGUGCUCCAUGCCCUUUCUCAAUGGGCCUCCCCCACAAAUACCCAUACUUUGCUUGAAGAACGGGGCCACUCAAGGUAGAAGGGAUGAAGACGAUGUCUUCGCUCCGUUUCUUGUUUAGCUCAGCCGACCUCUUGCUUCCCUCGCUGGCAGCCUCCUUCGCCGCGGCCGUCGGCUUUCUCUUCUCCGUGGGUUUCUUCCCCAUUCCUGCAGCAACACGAAGGGGGGAGGGAUUCUAUGGGGAGGGCGGCGACAAAAGGAAGAGCGAGGGGAGGAAUUGUCGCUUGGCUUGUGGAGAAAGAAGGUGGGGGAGUGAAGUUGGAGACAAGUGAAUCGUGCCACUUUGUNNNNNNNNNNNNNNNNNNNNNNNNNNNNNNNNNNNNNNNNNNNNNNNNNNNNNNNNNNNNNNNNNNNNNNNNNNNNNNNNNNNNNNNNNNNNNNNNNNNNNNNNNNNNNNNNNNNNNNNNNNNNNNNNNNNNNNNNNNNNNNNNNNNNNNNNNNNNNNNNNNNNNNNNNNNNNNNNNNNNNNNNNNNNNNNNNNNNNNNNNNNNNNNNNNNNNNNNNNNNNNNNNNNNNNNNNNNNNNNNNNNNNNNNNNNNNNNNNNNNNNNNNNNNNNNNNNNNNNNNNNNNNNNNNNNNNNNNNNNNNNNNNNNNNNNNNNNNNNNNNNNNNNNNNNNNNNNNNNNNNNNNNNNNNNNNNNNNNNNNNNNNNNNNNNNNNNNNNNNNNNNNNNNNNNNNNNNNNGCUUCAGAAAGUUGCCAUUUUUCCUUAACUACAACAGUCCAACGACCCCACGAUGCGCAGUAAUUGCACGAAGUGGACGUGGGAUUGACUAGUCACCAUGGCAAACCGGUGUGCAGAGCCAUAUCCUGCCACGUGUCUGUGCAUUUUUUGGGGCCUAACCCAACGUGCCGCGCAACACAUGUGGCUCAGGCCCAGGGGCUUAUGUCGGGGAAAAUAUACAGGGGUAUAUGUUUUCCCUUGACUCGUGCACAGACAAGCCAAGACCGAGUCAAGAUAUACAAGAAACCAAGAGAUUUGAAGGAUCAACAUGCAGAUCAGAGGGACCAAGAAUGAACCAAGCACUACAAAAGAAAUACACUUCCGUGAUGAUACGUGUUUGUCACAGUAGGUCAUGUUUUUGUCAUGCAUGUACGUCCAUGAUGAUUUUAUGACAGAAUCAAGAUUGUCAUACCCGUGCUAUCGUAGAAGUGUUCCACGACAUUACCAAAAUUAUCAUCACGGAAGUGUCCACUUCCGUGAUGAUAAAUCGCGCAUCAUAGAAGUGCUUUCGUCAAGGGUGACCGACACAUGGCAUCCACCAUAACGGGUCGCCGUUAAGCUGUCGGGUUCUGGUUUGGAUCUGAUAAACCAUUAACAGCCCAGACCAAUGGGCAUUUUCCACAUGUAAAAUCAUUAUUGGCUAGAGGAAACACAUGUCGGCUCCUCGGUGGGCUAGAUGUCGUCCGUCCAUUGGAGGAGACAUGCCUAUGAUACGUCGACACGUGGCAGGGCCCAACAGAGGCCGAUAUAGGUUAAAAGGCCGGCCCAGUCAAAGGCCCGUACUACUUACUCAUGUACUAGUGGGCUAGCCCAAUAACAGCCUGUUUAAGAAUGGCCCAUUUACGGCCCAAAACAAGAUCUGGCUCGUCAAUUGUUGGCCGAUUAUUUGGGCCCAAUUAUGGCCCAGUGACUUUCGACCUAUUAGAGGCCCGAUGUAGACAUGGGCCCAUUUCAGCCUGGUGUGUCUUUUGGCCUGGGAAUGGCUCAUGCUGCCCAUGGGCCAUAUAUGGUUCGACGCAACAUCCAGCCCACUAACGUCCCGUGAUAAAUGUAGCAAUAGUUCAGACCAACGUGACUUUGGGCCUGUUAAAGGCCUGUAGUAUAAUUCGGCCCGUUGAUGCCUGUACUAAGCUUUCGACCUCUUAAAGGCCCAUGAUAUCAAUGGGCCAACUAAGGCCUGAGAUAUGUUUCGGCCUGGUAACGGCCCAUCAUAUAACUGGGCCAAAAAAGGACCGGUCUACAUUUCAACCUACCGAAGGCCCGUCGACGACUAGUGAAAAUUGAGGCCCAACAUGCAUUUCGGCCUGCUAAAGGCCCAUGGUUUCUUCUGGGCCGUAAUAGGCCAGCGGAAUAUUCAGCCUGUUAAUGGCCCAAAGCUACAUGGGCCAAACUAAGCGCUGGGUCCACAAAAGUCCCAACUAAAAUUUGUGCCGAAUUUAGGCCGGAGUAAGUUGUCGGCCUGGUGAAAAGUGUCGUGGAAUUGUCACGGCAGAUGUCCUAGUGUGAGGACUUAGUCGUGGAGCCAUCACACUAGGUUAGCUUAAGGGGGUUAAACAGAACAAAGGACACAGGAGUUUAUACAGGUUCGGCCCCUUGCAGUGAAGGUAAAGGACUACUCCAGUUGAGGUGGUAUUGCUUAAGUCUCGAUUACCAGAGAGCGAAUAUGAUUGACCUAGCUUUCGAUUUGUUGUUUCUUGCCCUAAGUCGUGUUGGGUAACGCAGUAAAUUUAAAACUUUUACCUACGCACACGCAACACUACAAAAAAAUACACUUCCGUGAUGAUACGUGUUUGUCACAGUAGGUCGCUUUUUUGUCAUGCAUGUACAUCCAUGACAAAUUUAUGACAGAAUCAAGAUAGUCAUACCUGUGCUGUCGUAGAAGUGUUCCAUGACAUUACCAAAAUUAUCAUCACGGAAGUGUCCACUUCCAUGAUGAUAAAUCACGCGUCACAGAAGUGCUUUCGUCAAGGGUGACCGACACGUGGCAUCCACCGUAACGGAACACCGUUAAGCUAUCAGGUCGGGUUUUGGAUUCGAUAACCCAUUAACAGCCCCGACCAAUGGGAAAUUUCCACGUGUAAAAUUCUUAUUGGCCGGACGAAACACGUGUCAGCUCUUCAGUGGGUCAGAUAGGCGCCUAUGAUAUGUCGACACGUGGCACGACCCAACAAGUUUAAAUGGGCCAGCCCAACUGAAGGCCCACAAGAUUUUGUGGACCAUAAUGGGCCGGCCCAGCUAAAGGCCCACAAGAUUUUGCGGACCGUAAUGGGCUGGCCCAGCUAAAGGCCCACAAGAUUUUGCGCGCCAUAAUGGGUCGGCCCAGGUAAAGGCCCACAAGAUUUUUGUGUGCCAUAAUGGGCCGGCCCAGGUAAAGCCCACAAGAUUCUUGCGGGUCAUAAUUGGCCGGCCCAGCUAAAGGCCCACGAGAUUUCACCGACAUUAAUGGGCCGACCCAGCUGUAGGCCCACAAGAUUUUGAGGACCCUAGUAGGCCGGCCCAUUAACUGGCUGCCAUGUUUUGGGCCAAAUGCCGGCCCAUAUUUGAUCCGGUCCAUUAAUGGCAUGCCACGCUCCGGGCCUAAUAGUGGCCCAUAUGAGAUCCGACCUGUUAAAAGCCUACCACAUUCUGGGCCAAAUUACGGCCCAGAUCAGGUCCGGCCCUUUAAGAGGCUUUGGGCUCAAUUAUGGCCCAUAUCAGAUUCGUACCGUCAACUAGACACUAUACUUUUGGGCUCACUUGCUAAAGGCCCACUUAGUAAUUCGACCUAAUAUUAGUUUUGGCCUGUUAAGUGCCCGUUUAAAAUUUCGGCCCUAUAUUAAUUUCGGCCUGUUAAAAGCCAGUCAUAUAGUUGGGCCAAACUACGGCCCUGUUUGCAUCUGGCCUGCUCGCAGCCAAUAUCUGAUUGGGCCAAACAAGGACCGAGACAAUUUUGGCCUGUUAAAAGCCCGUGAUUUUAUUCGCACAAUCAUGGGUCGGGGUUCAUUUCAUGCUGCUGCGUAACUAGUAUGAAUUAAGAACAAAGCUACUCUAUACAAUAAAGAAAUUACGGCAUAGUAACUUAGAAUAAACCUACACUAUACAAUAAAGGUUUUAAGGUAUAUUACAUCCACUAGGCAUCUAAGUUCACCACCAGUGAUCAUAAAGCGCAACGUAGAAGCAGAUUACAAAAACUGGGCACCAUUGCAGCGUAACAAAAUAAUACUGAACCGAGACCACUUCGAAGAUAGUUCAAGAAAGGUUAGCCUUGCGGGGGAACUACUGUGCAGGCUGUUGAGCAAGGCCAUGAGACCGGCCUAGCAUGUCGGUCAUAGCUUCCAGGUGUAGCUGUUUAGCAAUGAGGUUCUCAUUGGUGUUCUCCGCAAUCUUUCUUAGAGAUAGGACUUCAAGUCGAAGUUGAGUUGCAGAAUGCCUUUCUGCUAGAACUUGGGACUGAAGAAGUCGAACUAAUUCAGACAACGAAUUCUGUGAGCUUGUCUGACUGUUAGUGUCAAGUAACUCGAACACUGCAUCAAGACAAGACUUUGGGGUUGUCUCGCUAUCUUCAAGAUGUUUUGCCUUCUUUGCUGUAAUAUAUGUUGGGUUUGUCUCACAGCCUUCAGCAGACUUGUGCAUGCCAUCAGACAUUCACCCCGAAACAAAGCAGAGAGAUGACAUGUUUUCCACGUGUAUAAACAAAGAUGAUAACUAUUCUGUCAAUUCUAUCCAAUUUCAAAUUAGAAAAUAAAGAGUAUGUUCAAAAUAUCAAUAGCAUAAUUUGGCAUUGUUCAUAAUGCGGGGAGCUUCACCACACUACUGGAUUACCAUGUCAACAUAACAAGCAUAGAUGAAGGGCAAAGAAAAUCAUUGUAUCUAUUUUGGAUAAUGUGCAUGGCAUGUUGUUCAUAUCAUCAGCUACAUCAGUAAGAUAAAACAGGAGAUGACAAGGUGCAAACGUGAGCUGUUUCACCACACACUGGAUUAUAGAUCCACAAAACAAGCAUACAUAUAGGGAGUAUUAAGUAAUGUGCAUGGUAUGAAUAAGGAAUUUGGUUUUACAAGUAAAACUUAGAACUUACGGUUCUUACGAACAUGCAUUUUGGUAGAAACAACAAACUAAACAGCAGUAAACGAUAGGGAGUAUGAGCAAAUUAAACAACAAUUGAGGAUAAAGGCUUUAGAAGGACCGACUUACAUUAACAGUUAACACCGGCUUUAUAAUGCCCUUCUCCAUGUCAAGGGAAGGAUAACUCAAGAAUUUCAGCACAAAAUCUUCUUCAUAAGCAUUGCCUGUACUCUACAUUUUGUAGAGAGUAAUUAUAGAUAUGAUAAUACUGGAAGGGGUAGAGGAUAAUGAAGAUAAGAUGCAGAUUGAUGCUACAUAAUCAACUACCAAUCCCUGGAAGUACAAGCGUUACAGGACAAAAUGUACUGACAAGAGCAAUGGGCUACACUUCUGCACUGGCAUUGUCUGUGUAUUCUACUUGUUGGUAAGAUUAAAUAUAGAUCUGAUCUUUUUUAGUAAAUGGUGGGCGAGGGAGAUAAGAUGCAGAAUGCUACAAAAUGAACCAAUCCCUCUUCCCAAAAUACAAGAGUGUUUUGAACACUGGUGUACAGUACAAAACGUUCUUAUAUUAUGGGACGGAGGGAGUAGCUGUUAAUGUAAGUACAGUGAUAGACCACGUUCAAUCCUUACAAGAGGACUGCAGAGCUAAACCUCUUCAAAAGCAUUGGGUUGAUUCUAAAUUUAUGUAAGAGUCCAUACAGAUGUUAUAAUGUCCACCAAAUGGAUGAUUACGAGGCUAACAUGUGCAGUGAUGCUACAUAAUCAAACAGCUAUGAAAGUAAAUAUGGUCAUACAGGGCAAGAGGUACUCACAAGAGCAAUGCAGUGUGCAGUAUAGUUGCGAGAUUCUGUGGUCCCUUGAGAACGAAUGUUCUUCUGCUAACAGUUUUCGUACAAGUGGGACAUUAAGGCAAAUGCAGAAAUGUAGUUCAAAUUGUGAUGUGAUAUCAUAGACAGUACCUUACGCUGCAGCCGAGACCAAUGUGUAACAAGAUUAUUCCAGUCACCAUCGGAUAAAAGUAGCACCGGAGACUUUAUAGAAAUUUCGUUCAGAGGCUUGCCAUCGAAGUGCGCUUGCCUUAGGUAGGAACGAUACUUCAUCAACGAGUGCUUGAAAAGCGCAACCAACCCUUGCUCGUCAUCACAAUCCAGUUUGCGCCUCGCCUAUUUAAAAGAAUGAAAUCUUGUGUCUUCUGUCAGCAGAAACAUAUGCGGUAAUGAUCAUGAAUAACAUUAGUACAUUACUUACGCGUAAGUUGUGGAGGAAGACUGGAAAUUGUUCUGUGUCUGCGGUAUAAUCUUUCCAUGAGGGAAAGAUGCGCACAAAGUUCCUGACAACAACAUAAGCUUCGUCUUCUGAACUGGGAAGAAAUGGAACAGGGGUCCUAUUUGCUGCAAUUGGGGCUCUCUCUGGUUCGAAAAGGGACUUGGCAACUGGAUUUGGUGUACUCUUUGCUGGAUUGGGGGUUUUGCAUCGUACAGCUGGUGCUAUGUCAACUGGCAUAAUCAUACUGUUUGCUGCAGUUGGGGUCUGCUGAGUUGGGGCAUCAGAAAUGACCAGUAUAGUAGGGCUAGAGUCUGCUAGAGUUGGGGUAUUUUGUGGGUCAGGUGAUAUUGCAACUACACCUAAUGGGCUAUUUGAUUUAUCAGGUGCCACUACCUUUUCCAAGUACUUUGCUUGUGCUCCUCCACGAUCAGCAAUCACCCUCUUCCUUUUGAACGUCUGAUACACAAGAAUAGCAUUUGAAUGGAUAAAUAUGGUAUGAUGACAGAUGGAAUAUGUACUAAAAAUGGAUAGGCAGGCGUAUUCACAUACACGAUGUGUAAACUAAGCUAAUGGCAGUUCAACAAAGUAGAAGCAAUGCAAAGCAUCAGUUGCAAGAUAUGUGCGAACAAUGUAACCUUGGAAAGUUAGAGCAAGUACCUUGAUGGGUGAAUAAGAUAGGGCAUCUUCCUCUGACUCCUCCACUAGGGAGCUACAUUGACUUAGGUCUCCCUGUAGCUCAGAAUCACUGUUAGGAUCAUAUUUUGAGCACGAAUCUGUAGGUGGAGAGUGUUUGCAUUGCAUUGCAUCCAGACUUGAUUUCAGUCCCUUAAUGCCAAGUUUGACAGCCAUGGCAUUGUUCUACUUUAUUCUUUUCAUGCGCACAAGCUCAUAAUCAUUAUGAUGCUGUUCAGAAUCUGAGAUUCAUGAAAACAUAAAAAGUAGCCAGAUUAUCUAUGGAAUGCAUUGCGGUUUCAACUCGGAGAGUGUCUUCCUAUAAACCCAUGCACAUGCAAAGUUCACCUCCCCAACCGUGCUGACCAGACCACACACAGAGAUACACACCCGAGCGGCGAACAUGCAUUUUCGAAACUAAUUUAGGAACAUUUAGCUGACCAAUAAACAACUCUAUUUUAAUAAUAUCAGAUUCGUAUUUGAACAACUAAGCUUGUUUAGCUUGAUGGGUGGAGGAGUGUUAUUAUGAAACGAAGCACGUAUUCUGAUUGUAUAGUGAUCAUAAAAGGGGGAAACCUAAGCAUAUAUUUUUUUAGCAAAAGAGGGUUUCCCCUCUGAUUUCUAUUAAAGAAACCACGACGGAACCAACAUGAUCAGUUAAGCCCUAAGCAUGAUCAAUUAAACCGUAUUAUGGCUGUGCCAUGGCAGAUUUGAAGCUGCAAACCGGAGAAAUGAUAUUUAGCAUCCAUUGUUUGCUUCGAACUAAGAACUAAAUUCUAAGAGCUGAAAAGAAAGUAGAGUAACCAAGUUAAGAUCUAUUUUCUGGUUGAGAUCAAAAAGUUGAGGAGAUAUGAAGUACCACCUCUCUUGCGGCGCCGUGUAGGCAUCGGGGGUGCGAUGGCUGUCGGUGGCGUUGAAGCAGAUCUGCGACGGUAGACAGGUGCAUCGGGGGAUAAGUCCCGUUGCGGUGGAAGAGAAGGUUGUGUGAGCGGCCCCGACAAAGAGGAUGACGGCGCCGAUGAAGCGAGAGGAUGCAAUGCAAGGCUAUUGGUCCAUCACUGUGGAUGAGAAACGUCCAUCUCUAGCAGUGGACGAUGCGGUCUUGGUAGGCGCUCCGGCAUGGUGGAUGACGAUGGCGAUGGAUGUGGUGGAGGAUGGCGGCGAUGGAUGGGGUGGCGGACGGAUGCUGGUGUGGGAAUGGGGUGUUCUAGCGCAGACGGUGUAUGAAUGGGAAAAUGGAGGGAGAGGUACGGGGAACCAUGUUUUUGGGACGUGCCUGUCUGAAAUAUGGGAAAGUUACGAACUUAUCCCCCGUUUCAAAUUUGGACGUCUCGUCGGUUGGAGAUAGGACGGUAAUCUCGCAUCUCCCAAAUAUUUGCCGGUAACUAUUUCGGGCGAGGAGAGGGUGUUUUGCCACCCACGGUUGGCGCCCAUGGUGUAUGAAUGGGGCUGACAGGUAGGGCAGUUGUGUCACGUCUGAUGGAAGUUACACAUCUGCCCCUAUUUAAAAUAUUAGCCUACAUCUAUUUCAGACGAGGAGAGUUUGUUUUGCCGCCCACCGUGUAUGAAUGGGUAAUGGAGGGAGAAACAGAGGUCUUUCGGACGAGCUUGAAUCAAAUGAGUUUUGCCGCCCAUGUUUGACGCCCACCAUGUCGGAAUGGUCUCAGAGGCGGUCGUGUCACGUCUAAUUGAAGUUACUAACCUACCCCUAUUUAGAGCAGUGGAAAUCGGGCCGAUGGAUUGUCCGUGUAAUGGGUAGACAGUAAUUUCCAUCUCCCAAACACUUGGCUUCGGGCAGCCGAUGUGGGAGUGGGCAUUUUGCUGUUUCUUUCAAAUUUUGGGACAAUAAGCAUCCACGUUUACCCUAUCAACUAAAUUCGAAUCCAUUUUGUAUUCCUAUAUGAAUCUUUAUAAAUCAUUCUAUGUGUUUUUUUAUAUCUUCAAAAGGACGACAAAGAUGUAUUCCACUGUCAUACAUGAAUAUGGUUUACAAAUGCCGAUACUCAAAUUCAGAAACUAGAAUCCAGUUUAAGGUGAGUUCGAAUAUUUGGAACACUUCAUGUCCAACUCAAAUGUCACACGCAGCAUAAUGUGUACUCCCAUUUAGAUAUGUACACAAGCGAUGUAUCAAGAUUCAAAUACCGAGUCAAUCAACCAAGAAUGUACAGAACUAACAGACAUAUAAACACUUAUAGAGUAUAUGGAUCAAUAAUAUCAACUAACAUACAUAAGCCAGGCUGCUGUACUUUUUCUUGGCUACAACAACAUCCUUUUUUUAGCCCGCAUCUUGGCCCUUUCUGAUGUGUGCCACUUAUGGUCCAUCUAUGUAACGCCCCGGACACACCCGCCGAUGGUCGUUACUCCUGGCGGGAUCUAGACUGGCCCCACAGAUCAAUACUAGUCUUUUCUGCACACUUUGUCCUCACUCAUGCACACCCGGGAGCAACUUCCCGGUCGGUCACCCAUCCUAACACUACUCCAAGCUGAGCACGCUUAACUUUGAAGUUCUAUCCGAAUGGGCUUCCAGAAAAGAAGGAAUUCCUUAUUGAUAUGAGUAGUCUAUCAUCCCUAAUAAGCCAGGCCAUCACAUACACCCCCACUCAGAGGAACCGACGUCCUCGUCGGGCCACAGGAACGUUCCCUCUUGGCACAUACGUCUGUGCUUCCAGUCCAGUACAUGUGCCAUGCCGUGUGCCACGACGGGUCACAAAUGUCAUGAAAAACAUGACCACGCACCUGUCCGCAACCAUUCGUGUAACCGCGAGGGUCGGCUCUGAUACCAACUUGUAACGCCCCGGACACACCCGCCGGUGGUCGUUACUCCUGGCGGGAUCUAGACUGGCCCCACAGAUCAAUACUAGUCUUUUCUGCACACUUUGUCCUCACUCAUGCGCACCCGGGAGAAACUUCCCGGUCGGUCACCCAUCCUGACACUACUCCAAGCUGAGCAUGCUUAACUUUGAAGUUCUGUCCGAAUGGGCUUCCGGAAAAGAAGGAAUUCCUUAUUGAUAUGAGUAGUCUAUCAUCCCUAAUAAGCCAGGCCAUCACAAUCUAUACUAGUAUUGCUCAAUGCACAUUCAGCCUGAUUGGCAUAUUUGUAGGUUUCGCACAGCAAUCCAAAUGAAAUGUCUCCGAGUCUUAUCAAUUAAUACAGACUUGUGCUCAAAUAAAAUUACAAACAAAAAAACAAAAAAAAACAAUUAUUACAUGAUCUCUAAAACAAAUGGUUUGAUUGAUUACAUGAAUAGACAACACAAAGGUUAUUCAACUAUGGAAAGAACAUUUCACCUAUGAUUUACCAAGUAGGAAUUUAAUUUCCUUUUUUUCUUCAGGACCUUAACAAUCUGGUCAGUCUCAGCUUGCUUCGUUUUGAAAUCCACCAAAUAUUUAAUGGUUGUCCUGAGUACUGCUUGUGAUUGUGCUGUUUGCUUCCUCAACAUGUCAACUUCAUCUCUAAGUGCAGAAGCAGAAUCUCUUUCUACCACUAGUUUAGCCUCUAGAACAUCAGCAGUUGGCAAUUCAUAAUGCACGAUUGGGCCGGUGCCACUGCUGUGGGAUGAUGCAACGUCCAUGGGGACCUCGCUCUUUGAUCUUGGGCUAACCUGUUUUGCCAUUAAAGUUCCGAUUGGAUUCAGAAAAGUUGAAGUUAGCAAAACAUCUCAACUGGGAGUUAUAACAGCAAACCAGUUAAACAAACAAGGAAUUAAAGAGUUUCAAUUGGAUGCUGAAAAGUAGUUAUUAACAUCAUACAUGAAUGCUAGUACGAAUUAAAUGAAAUGCAGGGACUUACGCUAGCUCGUUGUACACGCUCACUGCAGCUCUGCUUGCGCUUGGGAUGUUCCAUGUACAAGUCCAUGUUACCACUUGCUUGGAUGUGCAGGCCUUGUGCUCCUUGCAUCCCCCUCUGCAUUUUUGACACGGCGAAUGGUUGAUCAAAUAAGAGGAAUCGACCUUGAUGUUGUACCGAAGGACAGAUACUUACAAGGUUAUACGGGUGUGCAAGAUGUGUACCAGAUCCCGUAGCGCCGUCAUGCUUCGCUAAAAUAUGGAUUUGCUUGUUUCAGAUGAUAUCUCCAGAAGAAAUAAGAGUUAAGGUCAGAGUUGCAUAGGCGUGUAAGCUAAUAGAGCAGUGAAAGGAUAUCCAAACAUCGUCGGAACAGUGCACAAGGGAGUGAUGUGUGGAUACCUAGUUCGGGCCGGCGUUUGGGCAUGCUCGCCUAGCUAGAGUACGAGUCACUUCAGAGCCGUUGAGGGUGAUGCGCUGGCGUUGGCUGGCCGCACACGGAUGCAGAUCUUGAGGGGCAGCGGAGCACUACGAUGUGGUGGACGAGACCGUUGGUGAAGCCCCAAUGGCCUCAAGGGGCGGAGGUGCGACGAUGUGCUCGGUGAAGUAGCCCCGGUGAGCUGGGAGACGGCAUCGGUGAAGCGCACCUGAUGCGGUGGAACUCGGUGUCUGUGAGGCACGUCAGUUGCGGCAGCCGACGUUGUCGGUGGACCACCCAGUGCGGUGGAUGAGGGUGUAGAUGAGGUAGCUCCGGUGCGGUGGUGAAGCAUGACCGUCGUCUUCGUCGUUGUCGUCCGGCACAGAGGUGGGGAACAGUGAGGAAAGAGACGAGACGAGGGGCGAUUCGAGGGUUGGCGGCGAAUUAGGGAUAUGAGCAAUCUGGGCGCGGAAGGGGACAGUGGAGAAGAGAGAUUUUGCAGGGCUAGAAUUGGGGCCGCCUGAUAUUUCAAUCAGAAACGUGGAAGCGCGAACUUAUAUUGUCGUCGCCCUUUUUUGGGGGGGGGGGAGGGGGGUGGGUGGCUGGGUGCUACGCGUCCGUCCGACACACACGACCACCCCGAUAGGACUAUGCUUCGGUGCCUUAAGGAACCUGCCUUUGUGUCCAUGACAUAUGGGCCCAACAGGUGGCUGGCCCACAUGUCAGUGACGCAAAGGUAGUUGCCUUUAAGGCACCGAAGCAACGUCCACAACGACACGCCCCUGGUUUGCCCGAUGCGCCUACAUUUGAGAAUGCAAACGAAUCUUCUUUCAUUUGCAAACGAAUCUGUAUGUAUUACCAUGCCCGUGUGUUCCAUGCAAUAAUUAGUCAUUCAAAACGAGAUACUCCAUCCGUUCACUUUUGUAAGUCGUUUCAAACAACUUAAAAUGAACUAUUUUGCACAUUGUCUGAAAUGUCUUCAAGGUCUUAUAAAAGUGAACAGAGGGAGUACUAUAAAUUAAUGAAUGAGGAGUUAUUUGAAAAAAAAUCAAAACGGUACCCACGCUAACGUGGAUUAGAGUGUGUCUCACAUAAUUAGUUAUUUGAAUUAGAAUGUCUGUCAUGUAGUUAGUUAUUUGAAUUAGAGUGUGUGUCACAUAGAGAUCUCCAAUUCUAACGUGGAUUUCGCAUUUCACUGUAUCCAUGCUACUUUUUUUAAUACAAAUGCAUAUGUAUAUGAUGAACACCAUGGUAGUGAGAAAACUUUUGGAUGGAUUCAAACAUAUGACCUACAAAAUAGCAUAACAAACUGAGUCAAUGUCAACUUUUCGAAACUUAGUAUGGCACGAAUUCGAAAUAAUUACCUGUAUGCCUGCUCCUCGGUUCAAAUCUUACAAUGUACACCGAAUUGAAACAUCGAUAUUAAGUCUCGUACUAUGUACAUUCAAAUGUUGUUUUUAGCCCCCCCGCACAAACGCUGCAUACUUCCUGUAUCGGUCAAUCUUCCUCUCCUAACCACCUUAGGAAGCUAUCGCUUUCCAACACACGUUCAUUCUUUCUCUCCAUGUUUCGAUCUCUAAGUCUCUCAACUACACAACCCCUUUUUCUACUCUGUUACCAAAUGUAUUUACCUCACACACCCGCCAUUGCACCCCAUGCCGAGCUCUCUCCCCCCCUCUCCCUCUCACCCUCUCGCGCUAAAUACAUGCAUUGCCUAUCUAGCCCCCUAACCUCUCGUGCAUGUGCACGCACACACAUUGUAUAUCUAGGUCACUCCCUCGAGACUGUCUCACUCUUUCUUCCGCACGGCGGGCCACACUCGCUCAAUCUCGCUCUCCUUAUCCAAGUCUCGUUUAACCUCGUUUUCUUUCACACACAAAUGAUAUAUCUCCCUGUUCGGGCCUCGAUCGACACACUCUAUACUCUCUCACGCAGAUUGUCUAUCUAGGUCAGUCCAUCCAAGCCGCCACCACUCUUUCGACCUCAUGGUGGGCCACGCUCACUCAAUCUCUCUCUCUCUCUCCGUAUGUCUCGAUUGACCUUGCUCUUUCUCGGACAAAAACAAUAUAUCACCAUGUUUGAGCCCAAUUCGACCUAUUCACAUUGUAUACUCUCUCAAGCACAUCGUCUAUCUAGGUCACUCUCUCCAACUCGUCUCACUCUUCCGAUCGCACGGCGACCCUAUGUGAUCGGUUGACCUUGCUUCCUCUCACACACAAAAUAUAUCUACACGUCUUCACUUACUGGUGGGUUCCAUGUGUGCUCUCUCUCCUCCCCUUCUGCGUUUAGACGCACGGGCAAACAGGAAGAACUCGCGGGCGAUGUUGCCGUCGACCAUAUCUGGACGCGUUCACAAGUCACGGCACCAGUUUCACGUACUAGCAGCACUAGUCAGUGUGUACGUGCAAUGCACGUUAAUUUGGAUGUAUAUUAAGUGCAUGCGGAUAUUAACUACUAGGAUAUUAUUUGCGUGUUGUCAUGUGAUUAGCACUAUUUUUGGCAUGAAAUUAACUGCACGCCAAAUGUGUUGAGCGCUCGACAUUGAAGCAAUCUAGGUCGUUGGAUGAUAAGGAAUACAUGUGGCUUGAUGACAUUUUAUAUUUAAUUUGAUACGGCUCUAGCAGAACAUUCAAUCGAUCAAACCAUACAUUUCGUUUAGUCUAACUCCGACUUUAAAUUAUACGUCGAUCGAUAUAAAAUAAACGGAAAUGAUAAAUGUUCGAAUUUUAAGCAUGGCAAUCCGAACGUUUUUCAUGGCAAAUUUAGAUUAUGCGGCGGCGGCGGGGGCGUCUCGCGGUGGGAAGCGGCUCCUCUGCCGUGCUCUAUGUGUUGUCGAGCCACUGACCGACGGCGACAGCGGCGUCUUGCGCCGUUGUUGGCGUACUCCUGGACGUUGGCCUAGCUUCAAGGAAGGCCAAAAUGUUCUGGACUUCGGAGCGAGUCGACUGGCGGGAGGAGGCGACUGGUGUUGGUGCAAGAAAGCGAUCGACAGCGGCCAUCCAUGCCGCUGAGGGGGGCACUGGCACCCGCGCGGGGACAGGCGUUGUCAACGACGCGACGGAGACAUUCGUGUGCACGAGCAUCGGCAUGGGCAUGCACGUCAGUGCACGCGCAGGCGCUGGCAGGUGCACGGGCACCGGCACGGGCGUGCGCGUCAGUGCAUGCGCAGGCGCAUGCGCUGGCAAGUGCACGGGUGCGUGAAAGUCGGCGGGCACCUCGUGGAACCCCGUGGGAUUAAGCUCGGCGACAAUGUGUGGCUCCCAUCCCAUCAAUGCCACGGGGAUGGGAGCUGGCGCAGUCGGGGCGACGGGAGCCGGAACAAGAGCGGGGACAUGCGCGGCGUCUUCCCGCAGGGCCAGUUCAACCUCGUCCCAAAGCGCCUUAUGUUCUUGAGACUCCGUCUAGGUGUCUUCGUCAAGAAACUAGAGCACUAAGGGCAGACCAUCGUGAUGCGGCAUGGCGUACGUUUAGGUCAGGCUAGUUGGAGGUAGACGACUGGAGAAUCGGAGAGGAAGAGAGAGGAUUGUAGCGAUACUCCCUCCUUUCCGGUUUAUAAGGCUCAAUUCAAAAAUCUCACCAACCAAGGUAGAUGGUGAGUGGUGGAAUACUUUUUGUAGUUUGCAAAAGCACCCGAUUAAUGCUCUUGUUUUUCUCAAAAAAUAUGUUUACCAAUGCAUUAAUUGCAAUGCAUGCAUGCAUAAAUUACAUGCAUUGGUCAAUUUUCUCUUAAUACUUGCAUGCAAUGAUUUAAUUUACCUUGGAAUAUGAACAUGUGAUGGGAAACAACAAUAUUGAGCCUUAUAAAAUGGAAAAACUAAUAUUUUGAGAUAAGCCCUAUAAACCGGAAAGGAGGGAGUAUCGGGUAGUACGGGGUUGAUUUUAAACUGCGGCGCCAGCGACAUUAAAAAUGGGAGCAGUUGGGACGACGGUGGGCGGCGGAGCCUGGUCAAAGGGCUCGCCUCCCGGUGAGCCUGCACAGCGGUCUGCUCGCAUGCCUCCCUGACAGCCAGUGCAGCGGUCUGCUCGCACACCUCCCAUUGACUCACACGCUUGCUCAGACGGCACCUGCCGAUUGCCGAUGAGAAGCGGGGACUCGUGGCGGCACGUAAACGCCCACGGUUUCAAUAGUGAAAGCGUUCACCUUAACGUGACAGGUCUUUCUUCCAAAAUACCUUGGCUCUUCAUUUGUGCAACUUGUCAUAAGCAGCUUGUCUCAAAUUGAAGAAAAAACUUACGAAGUAAUAUUUGUGCCAUAUCACAUUACCAUGCUUAGUUUCAAGAAUUUAUGCUCACUUUUGGAUUUUUAGAAAUUUAAGAUCCAGGAUUCGAAACAAUAUCAUAACCUGCAUCAUGCAAUAAAUUUUCAAGCUGUACAUCUGCUCUGUUGUAUUUCUUAAAAAGGAUUUGGUCAAACAUUUUGCUUAGUUAGACUUCAGACAAGUUAUAUAUGCAGAGUAAAAGGAUAAUCCCUCCGUACCAGUGCAUUGCCUGAUAUAUUAACUCAAGUACUAGGCACGAACAAACGAGCUCAAUUCUGUGCUCAUCCUGGUGUAGUAGUGGUAGUAGUAGUAGUAGUAGUAGUAGUAGUAGUAGUAGUAGUAGUACUAGGCAAUGCAGUUGACGGGUGACCUUGACGAGCGGCGACCGAGGGAAUUGAACCGUGCUCGGCACGGUAGGUAACAUUGUCUAGUUACUAAAGCAUCCCUCCGUUGUUCAUCGGUAGUCAUGAUGAACCGGGGACAUGAGGGGAAUUUCCUAGGGCUGGAAUUCUGGCCGCCAGAUAUUUCGACUUGAAACGCCGAGGCUCGACUGGUUGGGGUAAUGGGGUUGCCUAAUGUGCGUACCACGCACGCCACCGAAGGACACGCGCCCGCUUUUUUUUAGGAUCAACACGAGCCAAGGUCUGGCUGGUACGCCGUUGGGUCCUACCAUUCGAGAAUACGAAAGGAACCUUUUAAAUUGCCGAACGAAUCUAUGUGUAUUACAAUACCCGUAUUUUCCUUGCAAAUACUAAUCUCAACGUGGUAAUUGAUUUAUGACGAGUUGUUGAAUUAGAGUGAGUUUGUGAUAUAGUGAUCUCAACAUGGAUUUCACAUUUCAUGGUAUCCCUAGUAAGUUUUCCAAUGCAAAUUCAAAUUUAAAAGAUAAAAAAGAUGGAGGUGAUAAAACUUUGUAUGUAUCAAGCAUAUGACCACACACACACACACAGACACACACGCAUGAACACAACAACAAUCCAAUAAGUAUAGUGCAUCUAUUUUUCCAAACCAUGCAUGUAUGACACGAAUUCAAAAAUACUCCUUCUAUUCCUAAAUAUUAGUCUUUUAGAGAGUUCAACAAGUGACUACAUACAGAGCAAAAUGAGUGAAUCUAGACUCUAAAAUAUGUCUAUAUACAUCCGUAUGUGCCAGUCCAUUUGAAGCCUCUAAAAAGACUAAUAUUUGGGAACGAAGGGAGUAAAAUGUAAGACAUCCAUGGUCCUCAGUUCAAUAUUUAAAAUGAACAUGAAACUGAAACAUGAAUAUUAAGUCUAUUACUAGAGUACAUGCAAAUGUUCUGUUUAGGCGGAGCUAUGAUUGUCGGGGGUCAACCCCUCGACCUUAGAUAAAAUUGUGGAGCUCUGUUUAGGGUUGUUUAGAUUAUAUUUGUCCCCACCCUCCCAGCCACCGAUUGGUUAUGCACCCCCACCCCUCCUCCCCGGGAGAAUAUCAUGUGCCCCCAUACCUUAGAUGCUAUAUGCCGAUACGAGUUGCUUGGAGCUUGUAGAUCUGAGAUGUAGCAGCUCACAUGAUGUGUCUUAAUAUUUCUGCAGGAAACCUUGAUGAGUUUGAGAAUUGCACACAAUUUGUACAAAAACUACUUAGAUGCCCUUUGAUCCCAUAUCCAACGACCUCGAAGCUCGUAUCACUGUAGCAUCUAAGAUGAAGGAGGACAUCAUAUUCUCCUGUAUGUAAGAAUAUCAUGUGCUACCACACCUUAGAUGCUUUGGUGAUACAAGCUCUUCGGAGGCGUUGGAUUUGUGACCCAACACCUCCUCGGUGGUUCGAAUGGUUUUUUGCAAAAAAGCCCCAAAAGAGUUCGGCCACUGCUUACAAGCACAAAGACUGCUCAGAUGCCAUUGGAUCUCAGAUCAAACGACCUCCAAGCUCGUAUCACCGUAGCAUCCAAGCUGCGAUAGCACCUUAUGUUUUCUCGCACGGGAGAGUAUGAGGUGCUCCCGCACCGUAGAUUCUAUGGUGAUACGAGUUCACUGAGAUCUAACGGCCCAUAAUAGGAGGUCUGAAUGUUUUUGCAAUAUACGACUGAUAGAGUUUGGGAAAUGCACAGAAAGUACAAGUACUACGCAUGUGCCAUCUGAUCACUGAUCAUACGACCUAGAUGCUCAUAUCACCGUAGCGGGUAAUUAAGCUACGGGGAGCACCUAAUAUGAGCACUGGGGAGCCGUUGGAUCGAAGAUGCAGCGGCACACACGAGGCCUGAAUGUUUUAUUUGCAAAAAAACCUUUGGAGAGUUUGGAAACUGCGCAUAAUUACAAAGACUACUCCCAAGCCAUUGGAUCUCACUUCCAACGGUGUAAAAACUCGUAUCAUGAUAGUAUCUAAGUUGCGGGGUGGAUGUGAUAUUCUAUGCCGCUAUCAUUUUUGUUCGUAAACUUGCAAAAUACGUGUAACUCAUGCCGUUACUUGUCUAACCGCACAAAGUGUUUGUUCAAAAAAACCAUCCUACACUGAAAUAUCGGAACAACACACGGGGGUCCCACUUGUCAUUAAUCAAAUUUGGACCUAAAACUAACAAAUCUGAAAGACGAGAUUCAAACUGGCAACCUGGAAUACAAAGCGUAAGUCGAUAGCCUGAAAAAACGAAUGGUUGUUGGCUUUGUCCCAUAACUUGAUUUUAUUUAUACAGUACUUUUGUUGAGUAGAGUAGAGGGUGUGCCUCGUCAACACAUGCAUGACCGUUGUCUCACUUACUGGUGGGUCCCAGGUCUGCAAUCUCAAUCUCUCUUCUCUCCAUCGUCUAACCUUUGCACGGGCACACACGAAGAGCAGCGCUAGCUUGCCAUGGUGUUAUUACAACUAAAAAAAGCUUGGAAAAUAGAAGAAUCGCCUAGAACAAGAGACGUUGUGGCUGGUCGAGACGGAGCUAACCACAUCUAUCCUCCGUGCCACGUUUGCAUGAUGAAGCUGUGUGGCUAGUGGGGUGUUUUCGACCGACUGGCUGGGUCCCGAGGUCGAACCAUAGGCACUACGUCUGAUACAGUAUAUUUUUACACGCACAUUUUUCCUCCGUGCCGAGACGUGGCACACCCUACCGCGCGGUUUCGGGGUCCUCCCGAGUGGUGCACGCAUAUAUUCUCCCUGACGUGGGACGCCCUACCGCGCGUUUUCUGGGUCCUCCUCGGUCAUAGCGCCGAAGCAAGUAAAUGGGUCGUCAAAUCACGAAAGACCACCUUUCCCGCCGAGUACAUCAGUGAAGCACGGUGGCUAGCUAGUUGGGCUAGUUCGACCGAUUAGCUAGGCCGCCGCCACAUUUGUUUUUUCACCCCUUUUUUAUCUACUUACCGGCAGGUAAAUAUAAAUAUCCACCACGGCGUUGCUCUGGUGUUUGGGUGCGGCAGGAUUUUUAUUUUUUUUGAUUAACAGGAGCAGGCACGACAGGAUUUUUAAUUUUUUGAUUGACGGGAGCAGGCGCGGCAGCAAUUAGUCACGAUGACUCUGCCUAUAAAAACCCACCGCUCCCUGAUGUGAGAAGUCGUCGAUUGGUGUUUUACCGUGGUGAAAACCAAAAGAUUCCCCGCUCCCUCCACCUUCCCGUAGAUUGCAUUGCCUUUCAGCCGUUUCGCCCCCUUUGCUUCCUCUCCCCAUUGCUUCUACCUGGUGCCAUGGCGGCGCAACAGAUCACAGAGUCUGAGGUGAGGCUCCUGACACAGGAGCUCCAUGCCAAGGAUGCGGAGCUCAGGGCCAAGGACGUGGAGCUCUGUGAGCUCAAGGAGGAGAGGAGUGCCAUGCUACUCCGUUAUGUGCGGGAGUUCAUGGAGCUUCAAAAGCGGCAGGCGUCCACCACAAAGAUGCUUGAGGCGUCGGCGGUGUUGCUGCAGAAAGCGGGAGAUACGAUAGGCCGUCAGGGGAGCCGGCUGGAGCGCGAGCGGGUCGAUCAUGACGAGGUCCAGGAUCGCCUCAGCCACUUGGUGAACCAAGUUGCCACACACGUGUUGCGGCUGCGCGAUGCCUACCGUCGUGCCAGCGCGACGAUGCCGGCCAUCGGGCUAAACCCGUUCGACCACCCGGUCGACUUCAACGAGCUGCGGCUUCCUGACCUGGUUUCCUUCUUCAACUAUAUCUCCAAGGAGCUGAGCCGUCUCCGCGCGAUGGUGGGGGCUGAGCUGGACAAGGAGGGGUUGCGGGCUGCCGUCGCCGUUGCCGGGCGAAUCCUUUCAGGGCUCCGUCAUCGGAAUCCAUUCGUGCCAUUGGACGCCGUCUUUGACGAGCUGGCUCCCGUCGACCGGGAGCGGGCUCUGCGGGCAGUUGCACCCUGCAUCACCAACGUCGUGCGCCUCAAGAAGCAGAGGUACUUCAGUGGUGUUUAGGCACCCUCUGCAUGGGCAUGUCCAUGUCUCAGCGCAACAUGACCGUUGGAUCAAACUCAGACGAUGCAGAUCAGUCACUGUAGCACAAAGCGUGUGGGUGUGUUUGGUUGCAUUCUCAUCUCAAUAUAGUUGUUUCCUCUUUGUGUAUUUGUUACAUAUAGGAGUAGUUGACAUGCGCACAACAUCAUUUGUUAUUGUCAUAUCUUACUACACUAGCAACAAGAUUGUGUAGUACUGACGUAUGAACCACUGCACAUGCCUAGUAGUAGGAGCACUGUGUAUGUUCAAGUGGCUGCCAUGUUUCGCACUCCUCCGUCGUAAGAGUGGAAACGCUUGCUGUAAUCAUUUUUUUCUUUUGAAAAACAGUGGACACGCUCUACCGUGCGGAUCCUCCUCUAGCCAUGCACUAAAUUACUCACUUUCGCCGACGUGUGGGACAACCAGCAUCGGGGUCCACCAGCCAUGCACUAAAUUACUCUGUAGUAGAGUGACGGUAGACUACCCCGAUCGAAGCGCCACAGUAAUGCCCAAUGAGCCGUCAAAUCACAAAACCCCCUCCUUUCCAACAGUAAGUUGGACGGACGAAGCAACCAUCAUUUCACUCUUCUCUCUCAGCUUCCUCUCUACCCAACCCUUGCUUCUGCCUCAUCUUGUUCCUCAUUUCUUCAAGAAAACCCCGACCUGCUUCUGCCAUUAUUCUUCUCUCCCAAAGAAGGAAAGGUGAGCGCAUCAAUGGUGUUGAUUCUGGACAAGGCCCGGUUUUGCAACCCCGAGACUGAUCCUAUAACUCCCUCUCUUUUCUUCUUUUGGGUUUGUGAUUAUGGUUUCUUUUCUUUUAUUUCUAUUUGACAGUUUCUUGAUGGACACUGGAGCACCGGCCGUAGUGAUGUCUAUGGCUCCGGCCAAAACCGUCGAGGCUCAUGGUACGAAGAAGCGCAAGCACCCCACUGAGACUACCGCAGACAAGCUCAAAGCCAUCGCCCUGUCCAAGCCCCCCUCUCCAGGAUCCCUCAUUAAGCAAGUCCAGGUAAUAUCUCUUCUUGACGAUCUUUUUCUCGAUCUUGAUCGUGUUUUUUCAUCUAACACGCAGUACUAGUACUAGUAGUACAACUUUCUGGGUGAUCUUGCAUGUGAUUUUUGUGUGCCAAAUGAUGGUUCUAAAUUCCUCUUUUGACCAAAACAUGCAAGAGGUUGACACUGAUUUCUUAUAGAUUACUUUCAACUACUCCCUCUGUCCCAAAUUUCUUGUCUUAGAUUUGUCUAGAUACGGAUAUAUCUAAUACUAAAAUGUGACUUGAUACAUCCGUAUCUAGACAAAUCUAAGACAAGAAUUUUGGGAUGGAGGGAGUACUUUAUGAACAUCAAUGCUACCUUUUAAGAGGGUAUAUUUGCCUCAGUAACUUGUAUUAUGGAUUUUGCAUGUAAUCCCUCUGCUCUCAUGCCUUUGAAGACAUGUUCUAGUGUCUUUGUUCACUCAUUUCUGUGCGUAUAUGUAGUCAUAUAUGGAGUAUAAUAUCGAAAAUCAUCUUAUAUUUCUGAACGGAGGUAGUAAUAAAAUAUGGUUUCUAUUUGAAUUAGAACCAGGUCCGCGGUGGAGAUGAAGUUCUCAAAGUCAUGCCGUGUGAACUGGAAGACCUGAUGAUGAGUUCUACUGCUGAACUAUCCAGCUGCUGUGUCCUUGUCGCCACGUGUCCUGAACUAGUGUUUUCCUGUAGCAUUGUUGUCAGGCGUGUUCUCGAGGCUGUACUUGACCACAACAAUUUCCUGGCUGUGCCUUCGAUUACGAAGGGUGUGGUUCUUGUAAAGCUUCCCAACAAAUCUGAUGCGGCCUGUCUUCAUCAUCAUGUUUAUGAGUGGAAAGACCACUCUGUUAGGUUCUCCAAGGUUGACAAGAUGGUGAUGGUGCGUGUAGACAUCUCACACGAAGUCCAUGGCCUAGUCAGUUAUGCAGGGUUCAUCCCGUAGGUCGGUGGCAAGAAAUAGUCUGCAAAGUUUAGUUAGUGCAACUUUGCUUGUCUGUAGUAAGUACUAUUGUUCAGUACUUGAUUUGUGUUUGUGAAUCCUGUAUUGUUUAUUAGUACUGCCGCUUUUGGUGUGUGGUCAGUCCUGAGAACGGUCUAUGUUAAUGUCUGUCCACUCAAUUCAGUCUGUAUAUUUUGAAGUAUCCAGAUCAUAUUUUUUGUGAGGACGGUUUAUCAAUUAUGGUUACACUCCAAUAUCUGUAUGCAUUACAGGGUUUAUCGCACCCACCAGGAUUUCUAGUCCCAUGGAUGUUCGGUCCAUACGAUUUGUCACGACCUUUGGACUGUCCUGCUUGUGGGAGUAGGCAGGGCCCCUGCAUGCCACGCGUAGUUGGACGAUCAAUCUUCUGUUUAGUACUUCAACAUAGUGAUUUCCUGGUAAGGAUUCACUCAUGUCACAUCAAGUAAAUCUUAUUGAUUACUGUCUAAAUCUUAUUGAUUUAAUGUCAUGUUUUCUUUCUUUUCCUGCAAUUUUAUGAUGCAGGUUUUGCCAUGUGACAUUCAUCACAGAAUAAACCGUUUGGUUUGCUCUACGAUGGCUAUUUUUGCAGGUUUCACUUCUUAUGUUGUGUCAGUAACGAAGGCACUGUCCAUGACUUAUAUUACUGGAAAAAUUGGAUUAGUCUGUUGUCUGAGUACAAGCUGAAUCCCUAUGAUGAACUGUAGUUUGGUUUAACAAAAACGCCACAAUUAGUCCUUCUCGCGUUUAAAAGAAAUGAAGAAAAAAACUGGAUCACGGUCACGGAUCCUAGUCAAGUUAGAAAGCUGAUCAUAGCAGACCAGACACGAUCGCCGCUGUCUCGCACAGAUCGAGCACCGACAGUUGCUCUAGCACUAACAGCGGCAGCAGCUUAGUCUGGUCCAGCUGAGGAUUGGGCACCGACCGUGUCGGCGGAUCAGUCUGAUCGGGCAUCGACACCGGCACCUGCUCCGACACCGGCACCAGCUCUACAAGGAGCACCAUCUCCGGCAGCAGCAGCGGCUUCGGCACCUGCACCAACGCUUGCACUUGCAUCUGCUCCGGCCCGUGCAGUUGCACCGGCAACAGACUAGGCUGCAGUUCGCACUUCAUAUACCAAAGUCCUUACAAAAACCGACAUGUCCACCUUCUUGGUAAGCAUUGGCCGCCCAAGUGCUUCGUUCUUUUUUCUUUCCAUGUUGUUUCACAUGAUUCACUGUGUUGAUCUCACUGUUUGGUUAUGUCUUCUUGUUUGCAAACAGAGAAUUCCUAGAGCAACGAGGGAGUCAUUCAACAAUCCGGGCGACCGCGGCCAAGUUUCUCUUACCAUGCGCAGCCUUGGUGUGAAUGAACCUGCUCAAUAUACCGUAAGUACAAAGGAUGGUCGCAUGAUGAUUGAUGCUAAAGGAUGGUCAAGGUUCAAAUCUAAAUCAUAUCUUGCAGUAGGGGAUGAUGUCAAAAUCGAACUUUCUCGGCAAGGAGAGCUGGUCCAAAUCAACUUUGAAAUUAGCAGCACGCAACCGCCGAACUAAUCUAUCCUCCGAGAGAUUUUGAUGUAAUAAUCUGGCAUGGUGAAACAAGUGUCCUGUGUGUAUAAGUAGUACGACAGUAUUAUUUAUCACAUGGUAUAUCAUUGAUAGAAUUGCAACUCUGAUUGCUGGUUAGGAACUGUCGUUCGAUUUCAUUCCAACAGCUGUUGUGCUUUAUUCAAUUUUGUGUAUACGCCUUGUGAGAGCAUCUAAAACCAGCACCGUACCGGUCGCUUGCAAUAUGAAAAGCGCUGAGGUAGAACACAUGGGCCCCCAAACAUGCAGGGUCGGCCUGCGGCCCAAAGUCCAGAACCGUGAGCCUAUCUGACUAUUAUAUUCUCAGCUGAACCCCCAUAAAAAAGCUGAACCCCCAUAAUGCCCGUGCGUUGCAGAGGGAGUAUAUUUCUCGGCAAGGUGAGCCUGUGAUAUAAAAGAUUUAUAUAUUUCUUUACAGCGGGAGUUUCUCUCUGUCAAAAUAUAUAUUUAUGUGUAACUAGUUACUCCUGUCUUUCUACUUCCUUUUGCUGAUAUGUGGGGCAACCAGCAACGGGGUCCACGUGCCAUAUACACAAAUUAGAGUGCACAACUUCACGGUAGACACACCCCGAUCGUAGCACCGCAGUAAUGCCCAAUGAGCCGUCAAAUCACAACCACCCUUUCCAGCUUUAGUAGUAAGCUGGACGGACGAAGCGGAAACAUUUCACUAGGCCUGAAUCCCCUUCUCCCUCGUCUGCUUGUUCAGAGAAAACCCCCUCUCGGCGAUUGCAUAGGGUUUUCUCAUGGAGAACCAGGUACGAAUUCUUCAUCCAUCCCCGAUAAACCCAAGUCCCUUGGUCGCAGGUAAUCCUAGGAUGGUAGCCGCCGCCGUUGAUGCGUUUUUCUUCCUACUGAAUCUAGUGUGUUUCAUUUGCAGUGCCCAAAGUGCGAGUACCCUACAGGUUUCUGCGCCCUCGGCGAGACGCCACACUUGUUCCUUCUCAUCCUAACACAACAUUUUGAAACACGCAUAGUAUGUUCCUAGAAUCCUCUUUUCUAUCCGGGAGGGUGGUUUUUUUUUGAAUAUGCUGUGUUCUCAUAUUAUUUUUCCUGCAAUGUAUUAUUUGCUCUGCCAGAACACAUGUACUCAAGAUGCUCGGCCUUGCCAUAACUGAAUACACUAGUUUAAUGGUCACAGUGAAGACAAGCCAUGGAUAUAAGUUCCGAGUUGGGUUCAUCAACCAAGAAGAUUGCUGCUUUUUUAUGGCCGAACUUGGAUAAACUUUCUCAAGUGUUACAGACUGAAAGUUGGCGCACGAAUGUUGAUGGAAAUAGAAGAACCUGGUCUCAUCUUCACUGCGAUCUUCCACCCCGACGUCGUUCCAAUUGUUCGUCGAUGUUAGUUUUGUAUCUGGUUCUUGCUUGUUGCCUCGAUUACUUCUUAAUCCACCUAUUCUGUCUAACUAAUCACAAUUUAACUUUAGAAGUAGCAACGAAUCUCUCACGAAGAUGCUACUUCUAACUAAUAUUUUCUUAUAAUUGGUGGCACGUGUAGGUUUUUUCAGAGUUAAGCAGUCUGCUCGUUUAUUACUCUGUAGUAACUCGGCUGUUACUAAUGGCACUGAAGUUGACUGGAUCGACAUCCACAAGUUCCUACACUUUAUUGAUCGUGUUGAGGUCCUUGUGGGGCGUUUCAAUGGUGGAAGGCCACGUGGGAUAUGUGUGCCACUGCUGCACUCGUUGAACAGGUCCAACUGUGUCGAGAAACUUAUGGUACGAGCUGUUUUCUGUUAUAUAUGUUGUUCGUAAACUAUUGCUUAUACACAGUUUUACAGCUAUGAUCUUCUUGAAACAGGAACUGCCGAAUUCUAUUGUUCCUGUACAGAUGCCUGACCAUGGUCGGGUCAGACUUGCGCUUGGUCACAACAUGAUGUAUAUGUCGACCUACUCAAUUCCCCAUGGAGGUGAAAAGAUACUUAUUCAUGGGUGGUCUCAAAUAAUGAAGACCCGUCCAUCUUGGAGAAUAGGACAGAAGAUUAUGUUCAUGCUUCUCCAUGGCUCUAAAGCGAAUAUCCUAUUUAUUGACCAUGUUGCGAGAUGAAGCCGCUUUCAGAAGGUUGUGGAUGCGCGGGGUGGUGCCUGGGCCUUGUCCUGGGGCUUGGCGGCCUCACCCUUGGUUAACUAUAGGCAAAGUAGCACUGUUUGAGGCAUGCUUUGUACGGUUGAACCUGUAUAAGUACUCAUACUGCUUUCAGCUUUGGUUGUUAAGUGCCCCUGCUGGUUUCAGUUAAGGUUGUUAAGUACUCCUGCUGCUUUUACAGUCUGUCGUGUUUCUUCAGUCCUGUCUUCAUCCAGCCUCCAAAACCAAACCAGCGCCGGCGGGGCCGCCUGCUUCCGCCUCCCAUGGUUGGAUGCGCCUCAGAGCACGCAUCGCCGCCCCACCGUCUCCUAAAUCGUUAACGCCGACCUCCUCUGCGCGCUUUGGUGCGCUCGCCGUGGCGCCGCCCUCUCGUGUUGUCAACAUGGUCAACAAACAACAGGAAUCGGAAGAAGUACGUGGAGAGGAUGACAGUAGGGGCCCACCACGUCAGCGUAUGGAAAAAUAAAAUGCUUCCUCCUAGUGUUUUCCUGACAUCUGGGAUACACGACACUGUGAGCGUAUAUAGUCAAUAGACAAGAGAACAACACAAGAUUGGCUGACACCUGGGACGUAGCUACUCGAGCAGUAUUUUUUUUGUUUGGUAUUGUUGAGUCAGAGCAGGGUUUGAACUGGGCUGUGGCCCGUCUAGCCCAGACUUAUAUUUUAUGUUCACCAUGUGACCAGCCCAGCUAUUUUUUCUUUGUGAAAAUGAGCCCAGUUUAUUUUUUCUGAAGAAUACCCAAUCCAGGCCUACUUAUUUUUCUACGCCUUGAUGGGCUGCAACUCUUUCAAGACGCCUGCAAAUCUUGAAAGUAAUAUGAAAUGGGUUGUAAAUAUAAAAACAGAUGACAAAUUAGCAAUUACUUUAUAAUUUCUGAAUUUUAUCACAUUUUCAGAUUCCUAUUUCACUGCGCAUUAACCUAAUUUAAAUAUAUCUUCAAAGUACUUUAAAUCUGGCUCGACAUUUCAGUAUUAAAAAUAGUUUGGAACCCACAGAAAUAUGCGAAAUUGGCCCUGGCCAACCAAAAAAAAACGACUGCAAUAAAUUGCAUAAGAAGUUUCCAUGAG
This 65528-nucleotide long non-coding RNA is filed under the name Triticum aestivum (bread wheat). RNAcentral describes it as "long non-coding RNA (TAES_LNC020549)". The stretch from base 60055 to 60189 matches the Rfam family "MIR1120/MIR1122 microRNA precursor family". The record is from RNAcentral. Lineage: Eukaryota; Viridiplantae; Streptophyta; Magnoliopsida; Poales; Poaceae.